RNAcentral lists this long non-coding RNA (44896 nucleotides) under Sorghum bicolor (sorghum). RNAcentral describes it as "long non-coding RNA (SBIC_LNC000953)". The stretch from base 3997 to 4103 matches the Rfam family "Plant small nucleolar RNA R71". The record is from RNAcentral. Lineage: Eukaryota; Viridiplantae; Streptophyta; Magnoliopsida; Poales; Poaceae.
UCUUGAGUGGUUAAAAGAUAGAACAGUCUAGCCAAGUGCCAUGUCUCUUAUUCUUGAUCAGCUAUAGCUCUGGGAUUUUUGCAGAUUUUCAAAUAAAACUCAGAAUUCCUUGUAUGAUUCUCUCAGGUCUUUCUUUUGUGGUAUUUUUGAAUCCUUACCAAGGCAUUGAUGGUAUAUGCCUUCUCUCAAGAUAUGUGGUAUUUGGGGUAUAAGGCAUAGUGACAUUGCCUUCUCUCUCAUCCUACUCUAAUAAGGCUUUAAUAUCUGGAGCUCAUAGGUGGGAGAUAAAGUAUACAUACUUACAAGACAUGUAUUGCAUAGUGAAACCAUGGAUCCAAAGUAACAAGUCAAUAAGUUUAAUCAAGAUGUGCAUGUGUGGCGAAUGAAUGGUAUAUGGUGAUGAUGGUGAUAACAAUGGUGAAAACAAUGGUGGUGAAAGUCUAAUUCUACUUUACUCUUCUGAGGGGAUACAUACCUUCCUUGCUUUUGAAACUUUAUGAGGAGAAUGAGAUGCUCUUCUUUUUCGUUUCUCUCAGGUGGGUAUCUUGCACCCCUAAUUCUACUGUCGGACACUUGUCCAUUUUUACCUCUCAUCUCACUUUUUCUUUUCUUUCGAGGUUCCGAGCACUUGCUCCUUUUUAUUUCCUCGUAUUAUUUUCUUCUUCUUUUUUUUUUAGAGCACUCAUCUCUUGAGAUAAUAUAGCAAGUGGUAGUAACAAGAUAACUUGAGCAUUUAUUUCACAAGGGGAAAACAGAAAUAUUUUUGGUUAUUCUCUCCCGGAUUAGGAGUAGAAUAUUUUUAGGUGGUUCUGGAGAUGGAAAUGAGUGGAUGUAUGUGGAUGGUACUUCCGGAGUAGAAGUAGCAUAUAUGAGUGAACGUGCAAGUGAAAUCUUAAUUUAACCACAUGACAAGCUCCUAAGGGUCUACACAGCUUGACCAUACUCAAUGCUAAUAAGCAGUAAAUAGUAAAUGUGUGGCUCAAAGUCUAGCAAGCAUGUACAUAUGGCUGUGGUAGGAAUUUAAGCUCUCAUCAUACAGGAACUCAUCAUGCAACAUUUUAAAGAUUUUCAAAGAUAAAUUCUCCAGAAUUCUAGCAUCUCUAGGAACAGAUAAACAGCAGCUCAACCUUCCCAUAUCGUAUCCGUUAACAACUUAGACUUCAGAUCAAGUUUUCAUCCCACAAGUUUAGGUCUAGGGCAAGCUUUAAAUUAUAACAGUUAUGUCUAAACUUGAGAGAGAACUUAAAAUGUGCAAAUUAGGCAGAGCAACUAUUCAUCAUAUCCAUGCUUAAGUUUUAUUAGAUACAGAUUAGCAUAGCCACUUUAUUUAUUAAUUAAACACACUAAGUAAUAUAUAUAUAAGCAUAAAAUCUUUAUUUGGUUUUCCCGUAGUUUAUGUGUAUUAAUAUUCUAAAAUAAUAUAAAUAUAAAGAUAGAUAGAUAGAAAUACUUAUCGAGAUAAAUGGGGGUGCUCUCCCCCAAGCUGAAUUUUGACGUAAUUUCUCUUGAUGUAGCUAGCAGGUGGCAGAGGUGUAUUUGAAAGCAGCAUUCUGACAGCGAUUAGAAUGUCCUCCGUCUGCUAGUCUUCUUCAUUCUUAAAUUCUGUGGAGCUCAAAUAGACAACAAAGCUUGUGGAACUGAUUAAGUGUUAGCAUAAAUAUCUAGCCUUUGUAAUCUUGAGACUCCUUAAUAAUUAUUACUCCCUGUUUUUAUAUUUUUAUUUUAUAAAGCAGAAAAAUAUUUAUUUUAUUUUUAUGCCACCACAGUGAAUGUACGUAUGAGUUUUAUGCCACUCGUCUAUUCACAUGGGGCUUACUAUUUUUCACAUUUUUAUUUUCUUUUUAAGACAGUAUGAGCAUGUUUAACUAAGUAAACUAUUUAAAAUAACUGAAAGGGAAAGGGUAACUACCAAGUUUACCUCUUGGCAAGGCGUUCGGUGUUUUUAAGUCCUCCGAACGGGACUCUCCAAUUUCUUAAUCGUCCUGAGGUUCGUUGGGUGGCGUAGUCGGUACUUCCGGCAGCGCCUCCUCUUCUUGUAUAGUUAUCUUCAUUUUCCAUACCUGACUCGGUGCUUCAAUCUCCUCUGGAUAAUUCUGUUUAAACUCUACGUUUUCUGACCUUACAACUUCUCCUUCAUAGUCUGCCCAUCCGUCCUUCAUGAUCUGCCUCCUCUGGUUGCGGUUGCGUCUUUUUCUGACCUGCUUAGAUUCUUCAACGAUAUAGUUAGGGUCAGUAAAAUAACGGCGUACCUUCUCUGAGGGGAAGUGCAUAUGGACUUCUCCGGUUCCAAUAUAGAUAAUUGCUUUAACGGUGCUGAGGAACGGUCUUCCAAGGAUGAUGGGUGGAUCAUAUUCAUCUUCUCCCAUGUCAACAACUUGAAAGUCUGUGUAGACAAAGUGAUCGUCUAUUUUGACUGGGACAUUAGAUACUAUUCCUUUAACUUCUCGAAAUGUCUGAUCUGCCAUCUAGAGUUGAAUGUAUGUUGGUCUUAGUGGCAUGGUUCCGAACAAGAGCCGAUAGGUGACUGCGGCCAUUAUGUUGACGCCUGAUCCGGUGUCGCAAGUCGUCUUGUAGAAGUUGUAUCCAUUUAUGGAGCAGUAAAUGCUUGGCAUUCCUGGGUCAUCCUUCUUGGUCAAAAACGGUGACUUCAGUUGGUGAUCUUGGCCUCCAUGGACUACAGUGACCAUCUUAGCUGACUCGGUCCACACUUGCCUGUUCCUGUUCCUCCUGUUGGUCCUCUUCCUUGAUUCACGUCUGGAUUGAUUUGGAAUUUGUGUAGUCUUGUUCUUGAAGAAAAAUGUCUCCUUCUUCCCUUUGACGUAGAAACUGAUCUUGGCAGCACUGGCGUAGAUGAUAGCUCCCGUGGUGUUCAAGAAUGGCCUCCCUAAGAUGAUAGGUGCUCUCUCAUCAUUUCCGGUCUCUACCACUACGAAGUCUGCUGGGGCAUACAAGGUACCAACUCGGACACAAAGGUUCCUCACUAUUCCUUUUGGAAAAGUUAUCGUCUGAUCUGCAAACUGCAAACACAUGGUUGUCUCUAAUAAAGGAUAUGUAAAGAAUUUUUCAUAGAGUACCCUGGGUAUAAUGUUGACACUGGAGCCAAAGUCACAGAGUGCUUCUGGGACAUCCACCAUGCCGAUAGAGAUCGGGAUGACGGGGUGUCCUGGAUCGCCUCUCUUGACCGGCAGACGGUCAGUAGAAAAUUCAUUGACGGGGUUACUCCAAUUACCUGCAUCAAACACGUCUACAAGAUUUGCAGAUUCUAAUCCUUCCGGUUGUGAUGGUAUACCGGGGUUAGUAGUAGGAACAGCAGCAGCUAUCUGAUUUAACUGAGAUUCAAUCAUUUUAUUAAAGCUAAUUUGAUUCUUGAUGGCAGUAGAGAAAUUAUCCAUUCUAUUAUUUAUAUUUUCUAGCAUUUUAUCAUUAGAUGCCAAUUUCUUAGAUAGGUUAUCCAUUAGCUUACCUUGAUUAGACACUAACUCUCUCAAAGGUGGAAAAUUAUUAUUAUUGUUGUAAGAAUUGUUACCUUGAUAAUUACCUAAGUAGUUAGGCCUCUGUUGAUUCCAACCUUGAUUUUGUUGAGGACGGUUGUAGUAGUAGUAGUUGUUGUUGUUGAUGUAGUUCACAUCCUCAAGUAUCUCAGGGCAGUGGUUGCCUGAGUGUCGUGUGUCUCCACACUCCUCACAAGUCAUGUGAGAGUCGUAGAUGUGCAUAACUUCUUUCUUGUCUCCAGCUUUAUCAUCGAGCUUCUUCAUGAGCAGGUCUAGCUUUGCAGACAGCAUGUCUACCUCCUUCAGCUGAUGCAUACCUCCACCUCUCUUGCGUGUCUGGGUCCUCUCUUCAUUCCAGCUUUGAUUGGACGCCAUCUUCUCCACAAGAGCUGUGGCUUGUGAUAUAAUAAGUGAUAAGAAUGCUCCUCCAGCUGCAGCAUCCAUGGUCUCUCGGGCACUGUUGCUGAGCCCAUGAUAGAAUGUCUGCAUCAAUAGCCAACUCUCCAUUCCAUGAUGGGGACAUUCUAGGAUGUAGUCUUGAAAGCGCUCCCAUGCUUCUGGAACAGAUUCAUCAUUUUGUUGCUGAAAACUUGUAAUCUUCCCACGGAGAGCAUUGGUCUUGCCCAUGGGAAAGAACUUAGCCAGGAAGUUUGUUGAGCAGAGUACCCACGUAGUAUUCUUCUCCUUUGUAGCAUAGAACCACUGCUUCGCUCUUCCUAACAGUGAGAAUGGGAAGAGGCGAAGUAGUAGCGUCUUUGGAAACUCCUGCUAUGAUGAAUGUGUUGCAAAUCUCCAGAAAGUGUUGUAAAUGAGCACUAGCAUCUUCGUGUGCCUUCCCACAGAACUGGUUGGAUUGCACCAUGUUGAUAAGUCCAGGCUUGAGCUCAAAGUUGCCAUCGAUCUCUGCAGCAGGUCCAGUGCGGAUGUUGUCCGUAGUGGGAGCUGAGAACUCGCGGAUUGAUUUGUUCACCAUGACUUCGAACUCUGAAGACAAGUUCCGGUGAUCUUCUUGAUUGGAUGAAGCUUCUUGCUGAAGUGUUGAUGAUCUCUUCUUGGCUCUCGUCUUCUUGAAUAAUGCUUCCGGAUUGUCAACAAAAUUUCCUGAAAGAUGUCUUCUAUUCAUACAUUCCCCUGCAUAAGAUAAAAUAGAAAAAUAUCGGGGUAAAACUGUAUGAGAGAAUAGAUAAGCUCAAUCAUAUUAGUGAUGCGAAUGAUAACUCAAAAUCUUUUAUUCCAUUCCUGAUUGGUAAUCAACCUUCCCCAGCAACGGCGCCAAAAAUGCUUGUUGGGUAUUCUUAACAUCAUUACUAAAAGUAGACUAAGUUCUAAAUCUAGCAACGGUGCCAAAAAUGCCAAACCUAUACCUUACACCACUUAAGCCAAGUUGUCAUCCCCAGCAUGAUAUAAGAGACGUGGUAUUGAAAUAUGCAAUUGCUCUUCUAAAUAAAUAAUUAAUGGGAUCUGCAAGCGCACAGAUUAAUACCGAUGCAGCAUUUUAACCGGGAAGUAUUCCAGGUAUCGUUAUUUAUAUUUUUACCACUGGGAAGGGAUUAGCAAUCAUCACUAUUGAUUACAGAAUAGAAUAUGAGAUUGAGCAACUAUCAUUGCAUGUAUAAUUGAGAACAUUAUAUCUAACUCUUCAUACAGGGAUAAGUGUCACAUAAAAGAUAUAUGAAAUAAUAAUAGUGACAAGGAUAACUAAUCUGAUCUAGCCACAUAAUAAAUAUGAUAAGCACCUCAAUUAGAUACUCUAGAAAGUCAUUAGCAUGGUAUCAGAACGAACUACAAGAAUAUUCCCUAAGUUAUUCUUAACUAUAUAGUCUAGCAUAUCAUAGUUAGUGCAAGCAUACUUAGCAAUCAUUGCGAGACAAGACUACGCCCAUGCAUAGUGAUAUUAGCAAGGAAUAUGAGAAACAUAGCAAUCACUCCCCUGUAAUAAUGUUGCUCUGCCAGCCCAAUACACGAGAGGGGGACUAUAUAAGAAUCAAUGAAGCUGUCACUAUCACGAACUACCCCACGAUCUGGCAUAUUGGGUACAAUCGCAGAUAAAUACGGUAUAAGCACCAUGCCUACACAAUAUCUAUCAUUUACCCAUGGAUCCGAUGGAUAAACGCUAUACGAUCCUAAGCAUGUAUAUAGAUCGUAUCUAACUAAGCCAAGUACAUAACUAUGAUAAACUAAGAACAAUAUAAUCCUAAAUAUAAGCAAAUAGAGCAAAGUCAUAAGCAAUAUAUUGAAGUAGAACAAAGUCAUAUUCAUAAUAUUGAAGAACAAAGAUAAUUAGAAAGCAAUUAGGAGCACAAUUAGAAGAUUACCAAGAAUCCUCCUGACAGAUCCGGAAAACAAUCGAAGAUUGACUCCUUCUAGUUCUAAUCCUAUGUAGCUAUGCUAAUCUAGAUAUCUAAUUGAUGUGGUGGCUCUAAUCUUGAUCAGAGGCUUCUUCUCCCUUGAUGGAACAAUGAAUUAGGGUUUAGAGGCUCUCUCCUCCAGGGGCCAGGGGGUCUGGUUUUAUAGUCCCUUCAAGUGAAUAUGGGCCCUUGGAUCAAACCGACAUAGAUUGUAUGGUUUAGAUUCAUCCUUUAGGUCGGUGGAGACUUCCCGCAAAGCAGAGUCCUGAUUGGACUUGGACAGGGGGCGGGCGCCCAGUAGGACAGGGCGGGCGCCCUGCCUCUGGCCCCGAUUCGCCUCCGCUUCGGUCUCGUGGCUUCUGGAGUCUUCUAGAUGUAAGAUAAUUGCCCAGCACGUUAAUAUCUUUACGUAAUCCUGACAUGUGGGCCUUUCUUCCAUAUUUCCUGAUAACCCCCUGCAGAAAUAGACAAACACCAAAACUCGUGGAAUUCUGUCAGAUAAAACCCUAAGUCUAGAUCUUUAUUUUAUUUGGAUCCUUUUCUUUAUUUAUUUGAUAAUUAAAUUUGAUACUUAAGGACCGUCAACAUACGGUAGAAGGGCCGGCGAUGGUCGUCCAUAGACGACGUCGAACGGCAUGGUGCGCAACGCCGAGUGGUAGGAGGAGUUGUAGCAGUACUCCACCCACGGUAGCCACUCGAGCCACGAACGCGGGCGAUCGCCGGUGACACACCUCAGGUACAUGCCGAUCGUGCGGUUGACCACCUCCAAUUGGCCAUCGGUCUGGGGGUGGAACGCGGUGCUGAGCCGCUGCUUGACGCCGGUCAUCUUGAACAGGUCACGCCACAGGUGACUCGUGAACACAGGGUCACGGUCACUGACGAUGGAUUCCGGUAACCCAUGGAGCUUGACGAUGCCAUCGAAGAAAGCCUUGGCGACAGAUGCCGCCGUGUAGGGGUGGCUCAAAGGCAAAAAAAUGUGCAUAUUUGGAGAAUCGAUCAACCACUGUCAGGAUGACACUUUUACCAUUGACACGAGGAAGGCCCUCGAUGAAGUCCAUGCUAAUAUCUGCCCACACUUUGGUGGGAAAGUCGAGGGGUUGGAGCAGGCUAGCCGGAUGCAGGUGAUCAGUCUUGUUGCGUUGGCAGGUGUUGGAGGCGCCGACGAACUCGUGGACGAUGCGGCGGUCGUGGUCGAUGAAGAAGUCUUGCCGGAGUCGUUGGAGUGUUUUCUGGACGCCUUCGUGGCCCGCGUGUGUGAGCUGUACCGCGGCGUUCAGCAUUGUGGAGGACGCCGGGAUGUAGACACGCGCGCCGUGCAUGACGAGGCCGUUCGCGACGCGCCAGGGGGCACCGCGUUCCACCACGACGGUGUCCCUGAACUCGCGGAGGUGAGGGGCGGUGGCAAGCUCGUGGCGGAGGUCGUCGUAGAACUGGAACGUUGGUGUAGAGAUGGCGAGGAUGCUGUUGGCGUCGGUGUCGGUGUCGCGGCGCGACAGGGCGUCGGCCACGACGUUGAGGUGGCCGGGUCUGUACUCCACAGUGAAAUCAUAGGCAAACAAUUUGCUUACCCAUUGGUGCUGUGGCACCGUCGACAGGCGCUGAUCGAGCAUGAACUUGAGCACGUAGUGGUCAGUGCGGAUGCCAAACCGCCGCCCCCCAGAGAUAGGGGCGCCAGUGUCGAAUGGCCUGAACCAAGCCGAUGAGCUCCCGUUCAUACGCCGCUAGUUUGAGGUGUCUUGCGGCGAAGGGCCUGCUGAAGAACGCGAGAGCGCCAUCGCCCUGGUGGAGCACCGUGCCAAAGCCCGAUCCGGAGGCGUCGCAGUCCACCGUGAACGGGCUGUCGAAAUCCGGCAGCUGCAGGACUGGUGCGGUGGAGAGCGCGUGCUUGAGGGCGUCGAAGGCCGAUGUUGCCUCCGGUGUCCAUGCGAAGCUCUCCUUCUUGAGGAGGGCGGUGAGCGGCGCGACAAGCGUGCCGUAGUCCUAGAUGAACCGGCGGUAAUAACCCGCCAGUCCCAGGAAUCCGCGUAGGCCGCGCACUGAGCGGGGUUGAGGCCACGACGCAACGGCUGCGACCUUCUCGUUGUCCAUGGCCACUCUUUGGCCUGAGAUGACGUGGCCCAGGUAGUUCACCGUUGGCUGGGCGAACGAGCACUUGGAGAGCUUCAGCCGGAGGUGGUGUUCGCGCAGCGCGGUGAGGACGAUGUUGAUGUGCUGUAGAUGGGUUGACCACGACGGGCUGUAGAUGACGAUGUCGUCAAAAAACACCAGAAUGAACUUACGGAGGAACGGCCAGAGGACGGUGUUCAUGAGGCUCUGGAACGUCGCUGGCGCGUUCGUGAGGCCAAAUGGCAUCAAUAAAAACUUGAAGUGCCCUUCAUGCGUGCGGAAGGCUGUCUUCUCCACAUCUUCGGCGUGUACUCGGACAUGGUGGUAGCCCGAACGGAGAUCUAGCUUCGUGAAGAAGCAUGCGCCAUGGAGUUCGUCGAGUAGUUCCUCCAUGAUGGGGAUCGGGAACUUGUCCUUCACCGUCUGCUGGUUCAAGGCGCGGUAAUCCACAUAGAACUGCCACGUUCCUUCUUGCUUCUUGACGAGGAGUACGGGCGCAGAAAACGCUGAUGUGCUGGGCCUGAUGAUGCCUUGUUCGAGCAUGGCACGACACUGCGACUCCAAUUCAUCUUUUUGGAGUUGGGGGUACCGGUAUGGCCGGACCGCCACCGGCGCCGCCCCUGGCAGGAGGUGGAUCCUGUGAUCGCAGGGACGAGCCGGCGGCAGGCCGGUGGGCGUGGCGAAGACGUCGUCGAAGGAGUGGAGCAGCUUGUCGAGCAGGGUCGUCUCGUUGUGGUGGAUGGCGUGCAGCCGAGUCGACUGGACAUCGUAGCGAGUCGAGCCGAUGCCGUGCCAGAAGACGCGGCGCUGCUGGUGCCAGAAGGCCAUGCACAGGUCGUCGAAGUCCCAUGGGAUGGGGCCCAGCUUGCGGAGGAAGGAGACGCCGAGGACCAUGUCGUAGGUACCCAAGGGAAUGGUGUAGCAGUUGAUGUCGAAGAACUCGUCCGCGAUGCGGAUGGCGACGUCGCAUGCGUACCCGCGACACGCGACGCGGUCACCAUUGGCCACGAUGACGCCAGAGCUGGGGCAGUGGUUGAAUGCCAGCUUGGUGCGGCGCGCGACGUUGAGCCUGACGAAGUUGCUGGUGGAGCCGGAAUCCAAUAGCGCGAUGAAUUGUUCGUUGCCGAUGGAGACGUAGAGCUGCAUGGUCUCCUCGGUACGAAUGCCGGUGAUGGCAUGUAACGAGAUCAGCGGCUCGUCGAGGUCGAAGGCUGCCGGAGCUGGUGGCGGCCGGUUGUCGUCUUCCGGCUCCUCGACCGUGUAGUCUGUGACCUCAAGAUAAAAAACAUGGGGGCACUUGUGGCCCUUGACAUAAGGUUCAUCACAGUUAUAGCAAAGGCCGAGCUUACGACGCUCAGUCAUCUCCGCCGACGAGAGUCGCUUGAAUGGCCUGGGCGGAUCGACGCGGACGGAGUCGUCGUUGUGGAGGCUGGUGCGCGCAGAGUAGCAAGUUGUCGAUGUACCGGCCGGUGCGGGGCCGUCGGUGGCUGCGACGGGGCGUUGCGGAUCUCGAACGCGCGGGCGAGCCGGACCGCACGGUGAAGAUCUUGGGGUUCAUGGAGUUCGACGUCCACCCUAAUGUGAUCAGGGAGGCCACCGGUGAAGAGGCGCGCCUGCUGUACGACCUCCAGGUUCCCCGCGUGCGCCAUGCGCGCCUGGAAUGCCUCGGCGUAGGUGUCGACCGUGGACGUGAACGGAAGUCGCGCGAGUGCCGCCAGGUGAUUCGUUGUCAUCGGAGGGCCAAAACGCUGGUGGCACAGCUCCCCGAAGGUCGCCCAAUCCGGUCGGCCAGCAGUCCAUUCCAGGACCAGGUACCACUGUUGGGCGACUCCGGUGAGGUGGUACGAUGCAUACCAGACCUGAUCGGUCUGGUGCGUCAUCUGGGCAUGGAAGAACUGCUCACAGCGGUUCAACCACCCGAGCGGAUCCUCCUUGCCAUCGUAUGUGGGGAAAGUGAGUUUGUGGAAUUUGGGUGGCAUGUCAGGGGAGGGGGAUAUAUGCUGGAAUGGUGGUGGUGACGCCAUGGGCGCUGAUGGCAUGGGCAUGGGCAUUUGUUGUAUGGAGGCGAGUGAUGGUAUUGGUGAUGGUGAUUUCGGCCAGCAUAUCUGGUUCAGAGGGAGGCCAUAUGGCGGUGGUGUUGUGUUGGUCACGGCCGGAGUUGGGGCCGGGAGCGUUGCUAUGGUCGGAGUUGGAAGGGAAGAGAUGAUCUCGGAGGAUGCGGUGGUCACUCCCGUCGUGGAAUUGGCAGGCAGGGCCAGAGGGCUCCCAGCGCCCGGCAGGCCAAAUUGAGGACUCGCUGGUGGUGGGCGGUUCUGUUCUACGGCUGUAAGGCAUGAUGAGAUCUGACCCAUCUGCUGCUGCAGGCCAUAGAUUGCGGAUGUAAGGGUGGUGAGUUGAUCGGUGGGCACAGCCGUGUAGUGAAUUGGGGACUCGGCUGAUGGAGCGGUGGGCAUGAUGGAGACACCGAUGGACGGUGUGUCCCUCGAUGCUGGGAUGCUGGGAGAUGGCGUUGCGGUGGUGGGAGUGAUGGGGGGAAUUUCGGUGCCCGAGGUCGCCAUGGAAUCCGAUACCAGGUUGGUAUGGCGUAGGGAUCUCAAAUGGUAGUUAUGGGAGGGAGGAGGACGAGGCUUGGAAGAGCGGUGACGAACUGGCGGCGCCAUGGCUCGGCGCCGGGGUUCUGAGUGUUGGAGACAAGAGGAUGACAGUGAAUAGUAUGGCUGGGUGCCUAAGGGAGACAAUGUGUCUCAAUCCCAGGCUGAUCCUUUCCUUCAUCAACAUUCGAUACUUAUACAAAUUGUUUAAGCAAACUCACUCCUGAAACUAAAGACUGCCGUCCCUUCUAACAUGCAAUGGAAAUACUGAAACUAAGGACUGUCGUCCCCUUCUAACAUGCAAUGGGAAUAAUUCAAACGAGAAUGAACAAACUCCUGGAGACUAGUGAUGCAUGCAGAAUUCUUGCUGGUCCUAGCCAUUCCUGCAUUCACGGCGCUGGUAGACUUGCCCGGUCAUAACAUCCAUGGUGUUAAUCCAUUCAUCCGCUUCCAGUGGUUCCAUGGCCUCCUUAAAGACCGGUGGUUUGGUGUCCAUGAAAUCAUUGAAAGAGCUGUAUUGAUUCACUUCACGGCCGCCCUGGUUAUCCCCACGGUGGGUGUUGUCAGCGAUAUUGCGUAAGGCAACUUCCAUGUUUCGCUGCAUCUGUUCCAUGUUUUGUUGGCUCCCCAGAAACUACGCGAAAAACACAUCCGCAGUGUACGGAGGGGGCGGUGGUGGUGGCGGUGAUGGUGCUCUUUCCUCAUUCCUGCGAGCCCCACCUCCGGAGGAACCUUCUCCAACACCGGGGUUGCUGUUACCCCCGCUAUGCGUUUGCACCAUCUGCAUGCGUCAAUGAUAAGCAGUCGUUAGGAGUUGUGAUCAACUAGUAGAUAUAUGCAAAAUCAUGCCACACUGAAUUUACUGAUGAAAAUAAAUCCACAACAGAGGCACAAUAAUUCACCAUCCACACACAACAUCGCUAACUGAUUACUUAACAUUAAACCAACAGGGUUCGCAUACAUCCUGAAUUGCCAGCAUACAUACACUGGACUUUUAGCGUCAACACAACUUCAACACAUAAAUUCUAACACACCCAAGAUCCAACAGAUUACAACACAUGUUAUGCAACAACCGCAGCAAAAGAAGAAGGACUAGCUCUAGAGCUCUAGCAUCUACUCGAUAUGGUCGCUGUCCAUGCUGGAACCUUCCUCGUCCUCAUCUCCACUAGCGGCUGCCUCCAUCUCUAGGUCCUCAUCCAUCUCAUCCUCAGAGUCUAACUCGGCUGCUCUAGGUAGGUUGUCAGGGUGGAGCUGGUUAUGCAGCUGAUGGAUCUCCUCAUGCAGGUUCUCAUUGUACUCCUCAGCAUUAGCUAAAUGCUGAUCAAGCUCCAGCUGUUGGCCCUUAGGGUGUCCUCUUCGUGCCAGGCUUCAUUUUGCUGACCAAGCUCAUGAACUAGCAUGCGCUCGCAGUUCCUAUGAGCUGUGGUCACCCUGUCCCUCUGCUCUCUCACUGCUAGCAGAUCCUAACUCAGCACACUGUUCUGCUGGACCGCCUAGUCCCUCUCUAGAGUCAUACGAGCCAACUCUGCCUGUAGCCUCUCAACCUCACUAUCAAACUCAAGAUGUAGCUGGCACUUCUCAUCCUGAACUGUCAGAAGAGAACCCGACAAACGCCCCAAGCAGCGCCCUAGACCCUCAUAGGUCUUCAUCAUGGCCAAGAUAGCACUCAUAGCUGUACUAUCACUGUGCUGAUCCUCAUCCACACUCCUCUCUAGAGCAUUCACCUCGGACUGAUCCCACACCGAAGUGUAGGGGUCACCCUAGGGAAACACCCCAGCGAAGUCGUGGGCCAGCUCCUGCGGAAACCUCUCCAUGAUGUCCCUCAGAACCGCAAAAGUAGCCUUGCUAGCACCCUGGAAAGGCGUGGUACCUCGGGACUCGUACACUCAGCUGCCUCAGGCGGCGUCACCGCCACUGGUAGGAAUCACUGCCUCUAUCCCCACCAGGGUCCCAUCACCGAGCUGCUCUUUGUUCCAAUAGUAGCGAGGUUCCCUUCCUUCAGGAUACCCCAUAGAGCGAAGCACUCUCCAUACCCGAAGGAGUAUACAAGUUUUUAAUAUAGGUUGGUUGUCCAGUAUUUUAGUUUGCUCUAUCUAUGCUAAUGAAGAGAUAGUAUUAAUAUUGUUUUAGCAUAGAUCAUAUUUUAUACAGGCGUGGAUUGAGGUAAAGUAACUUGUAGUAGAAGAUAAAGUGAAUGAAUCAUUAAUACUCACAGUACUUUUAUUCAAGAUGAAUGAGUUCUACAAAGUUAUUAAAGUUCAGCAUGUCCUUGUCUCAUCUCUAAUUCAAAUUUAUCUCAUGACUCACCCAAAUUAAUUUGAAAAUUUCUUGCAAGGUUUAGUCGACAAAAUAUCCAAUGUCUACCACAAUAUAUUAUCAAUUAAAAAAUCAACCUAGACACCACGUCUAAUUUGAUUUAGGAAGGAAUUUUAACCUAAGCACUGUAACACCCCAGUGUUAUGGUUGCAUCAAUCACAUGCAUAACAUGAGCAUCAUCAUCUACUCAAGCAUAUCAUGAUCAUCAUCUACCUUGAGCCAUGUCAUUUUAUGCUUAAGUGUGCUUUAACUUGUUUAAUCAUGCUUCCUAUGCUUGUGUUUGUGUGAACCAUGCCCAUGCUUGUGUGUUAAGUCUUGGUAAUUAGUUUAUCUAUGCUUAACUCAACCAUAGGAACAAUGUUCAUGUUGAUCACUUCUCCAAAAUAAUCACUUAAAUCUCUUUUGCUUAGGCUUUUAAAAAGUGUUUCAUAAAAUGUUUGCAUGUCAAAACUUUCUACAGCAAAGUUGUAGAAAUUUUAUAAGGAACAAAAGUUGUUUUAUGACCAUCUCAUGACAAUGAUCACAUCUUGCUCGAAAAGUGCUUUCAAGGCAGUUUUGGGGGCUGUUUUGGCACUUGACCAAAUUUGGCUAAGUCUUGGCGCCACCAGUUUGCGCGAUCGAUUUUGAAAACCUCAUAUCUAUCAAUCCAGGCCGAUCUGGAUUUUGCUCUAGUUGACAAUGUUGUAGAACUCAGCUAGUACUCCACCUUUGUCAACUACGCCAUCUCCUAAUUCGUUUUGAUUUGUGAGUUAAUCGCUGUCGAAGUCGCUUUGUCAGACAACCAUCGCCAUGACUGAAUCGAAGCCGAGCUCGUCGACGUGGCCGACCGGAGACAGAACAACGGUGACAUUUGGCGCCCGUACGUCAUUCCUGGCCCCGCUCGUCAGCUCCCAACGUGCGCAUGACCUCCACGGUGACGCCCCGGACGCAGUGGACGUGUCCACUCUCUCCUCCCUCUCGCUCUCUCGCCAAAAAAGCGGCCGCAGCGAGCUCACCGUCGCGAGCUCACUCCGGCGAGCUCAAACGCGCUCCUCGCUGCAUUUCUGCUCACCAAAACUCGCCCACAGCUCCACCGUAACCCGCUCUCCAUCCUCCACCCGCAAACUCGCCGUGAAACCCUUCGGUGAGCCAACAUUUCCGACUUCUCCCAAAUCGGGUCGCCGUGACUUUCUUCUCCGGCGAAAUCAAUGCUGAGCUUCUCGGAGCCUCUCGUCUUCUUUGGUUAGGUCUUAAAGGUAGCUUUGGUCAUUAGCGAACGUUUGUGCCACUUGGUGGAUGCUCUAUCGCACUCACCGUCGCCGGACACGACGCGCAGCGCCGCCGUGUUUCCGCCGGAGUUCGGCUCUCUCGUGGCCAGCUCAUUCCACACCGUUUCAAGCCUAGUCACCUACCUAGGAAGCUUCGCCGUAGUUCACUGUUGCUGUAGGAAACCCUAGGUCGCGCUCUACCAGCCUGAGAGCUCCGGCGUAACGCCGAGCGCCUCCGCCGAGCCGCCAUGGUCGACGGCAAGCCAUUUCCGGUGGCUCCACCGUGGGGAAAAGGGGGUCACUCGGUUCGCAAGGGUCUGGGGAUCACGUUGGUACCCUUUGUUUGGCCGAAGACCUCACCGUCGCGGAGAAAUCGCCGGUGAAAGUCAUCUCGGUCGUGAGGAAGACGACCCUGACACGAGGGACCCGCUGUCAGUGACACACCGUUUCCCUCCUUUUCUUUUAUUCAAAUCCAGAUUUUUGGUAUUCUUGCAAAAAUCAUAUCUUCUGUUGCUUUGACCCAAAAAUUGUGAAAUAAAUUUUGUGAUGUUCCUUGAGAUGGCUAGUAUUUAAUAAAAAUAUAAAAUGUACCAUGUUUUCUGGGAAAAAUAAUUGUUAUGAUUUAAUCUUGUUAUUUAUGAGUAAAUUCAUAUCUUUUGUUAUACUGCUCCUUUUGCUUUGAAUUUUUUAUGGUAGUUUCUGAGUGUUAUUAGAAUGCUAUGAUAACUAUUUCAUGAUUUUUGGAGUACUGUAUCUGUGAUAUGUAUUUUAUGUUUGUGAUGUGGCAUGUUUUCUUAUUUAAAUCAUAAUAAAAGUUUGGUGCUUAUGCUGGUGCUCUACUCUGGUGUCAAACUUAAUUAUGGUAAUAGUAACAUGUAAAUAAUUUGAAAUCGGUUGUUUGACACUAUCUAAGCUAUGUUUUCUAAUUUACGAAAUAAGCAACUUGUCACAUGUUAAAUGCUUAUCUUGAAUCUGGCAUGUGCAAUUGCUCUGAAAAUUUUAUAGUGAUGUCAAGAUGCUAUGCUUGUGCUUGUGUAAUUUUUGUAGGUUUUUCUGAGCCCUUUUGCUAGUAUCUUGUAAUUAUGUCCCUUUAUUGAAUUAAAUUAUUAAGGGCCAUGAUAUUAAAUGUUUAGGGGAUUAACAUAUGAUGUUUUGGUUAUUUUAUGAUAUGCUUGUGCUUAUAAUCCAUAUGGUCGGCACUGAUUAUGUUUUGGUUAUGUCAUUAAAUAAUUAAUUAAAGGGGUUAAAAGCUGUUCUGGACAGCAAGGGAGUAAUCCAACCUUUGCUUAAUGAUAAUUUGGUUUUCUAGGAGACUUGUCUAAAUCAGAGUUGUUAUAGACUUUAUGAACUAGCUGUGGUUUAAUUUUGGGAUCAUUUGGACCAAUAGUUUCAAAGUUAUAGCUCUUCCAAGUUGGGUUCCAGAAAUAGGUGUUCUCUGUUUUUCUGGGACAGAACCUGGAACUUUGUUUAAAUGACUUGUUUAACUUAUGAAUCUUGCUAUGAUGUCUAAAGAUGAAAUGUAGACAAUUUCAUAAGCUCUCCAUAAUGUCCACAUUCAUAUUUGUUGGAUCUGUAUAGCUCCAGUUAUGAUUUAUUUCUUGAGCUGCUCUGUUAUGUAAGGAUUGCUGUUUAUGGUUUGACUUGCUAGGUCUUGCUAAGUUAAUUAGUUAUCCUUUGUGAGUUUAUCUUGGAAAUUUACUCAGUAAAUGAGUGUCCAGUGAAGUUCUAAUUAUAUUGUCAAGCAUUUAUCCCCAUCUAGUAUGCACCCAUUCUUACCUAUCAUGCAUGCAAUAGGUGCACCGGACGCGACAGCUUCAUUCGAGCUCCAGGUGAACCCCGAGGGUCAAGAGAUCAACCCGGAGGUGGAGGUCCAGCAAGCCAGACAUGAGGAGCCCGAGCAGGAGAUUGGUUGCCUGAAUCACGAGCCUGCAUCGUUCGUGAAAGGCAAGCCCCGGAGCAUCUUAAGUCUCCCCUUUAUUUUCGAAAGAUUACUUGAUUAUGUUAUAUCUAUUGACGCAUUACGUAUAGGAGUUGUGAUGAAACCCUUGCUGCAUUUUACUCAUUCCUUGUCCAGAUAUCUUACCACUACCUAGUUAUAGAGUUAGGAUCGAGUAGCGGCUUAGUCAUGCUUUAAUCGGUAGAAGUCGGGUGAUAUCCUGUCACCUGCACGAGAUAGGGUUGUGUUGGAUCCCGAUUGUCUAUAUGUGCUAUCGUAGAAUGAACCUGUUUAAAAUGACUUAAGCCGGGCGGAGUUUUGCAAGGUUGUAGUAACUCCGUCUGUGGCAGCUAAGGACCGAUCGUUGUACGUCCUCUUGUCAUGUUGAACGCAUGCCAAACACUUAGUUGGCUGGAUAACUCGUUCCGACCGUGAAGCCUAGUAGUAUGACUCAGGCCGGAAGACCGGCAAGUAUAAAGUGCGCACUACCGGAGGAAGUGCGGUGUGUGGGGGACUAUUGGCGUAAGACCACAGGCACGUGAGUUAAAAUUCCUGACCUCCCUGGCAGAGUGGUAGCCCUGGGAGUGCAGCGCUGAUUGGAGCCGCGAUUCCUGAGUCGUACCAAAGGUGACCCGCUUGCUCUCCAACGGGGGAUGUUUGGGUGAGUGCUAGGAAUAACCCUCCAGCUGGAUAGGUAUCGAUUCGAAUCGUCGUCUCUCCCGGAUAGUGAGAACUUGACAAAGCAACGGGAAACGUAGCAUCCACUAAUGAACAAUGGUUCGUGAUGAUGGGGAUAGCAAGGAAGAGCAUAUGAUGAACUUGAUAUGGUUAUUAUUGCUUGUAAUAAUUAAGUGAUGUGCUGUAGUCCAGGUGCUAAUCUAGUGGUAGGCUAAUGAUGAUUAAUAUGAUGCUUUUACAAUAAUGUAGCUAUCUAUUAAGCUUUUGGCAACUGUUGAGUCAAGCCCACUCCACUUUAGACUUAGCCUUGCAUGAUCCUUGGUGUCUUUUAUAUUUUACUGGACGUGUAAGUCUAGCUAAGUACAUCCUCGUACUCAGGGUUUACUCCCACCUGUUGCAGAUGAUAUCUUUUAUGAUGGCAUCUGCAAGACCUGUCUCCAUCCCGCUGGGGAUGAAGACUAAACCUUUGGGCACGGUUCUCUAACUACUUCGUAUUUGUUGCUUUUGAUGGAUGGCAUGAGAUUCUGGGUGAAACAAGAACUUGUGAAAUGAACUUUGGAAUGUGAGUUGUAAACUAUUUUGCUUCCGCUACUACAAACAUGUGUUGUAAUAACUAAGUAACUCCGAUGUGGUGCCGCUUCGACGGCAAUGAAUGACUAUGUAAUAUUCGCUAUGUUAUGUUGAACUAUUACGAUCUUGGUUUGUUGUAAGUUGGUUUGAAGUCCUUCGUGAUUUCAGUUGACUACCAGGAUUAUAUGGGCUCAAGUUUGGAAACUUGAUUACUAGUUGAUCGUUUCUACACUUGAACUCUUAUAAUUUGGUCGGUUCUAGGACAGCUGGCAUCAGAGCAAGUUCAGCAUUAUAAAUGCAGCGUUUGUGUAUUUAAAAACAAAAGAGUUUUUAAAUAAAAUUGUUGAAAAUCAACACUUAAUUAUGCGAGUGGUCGAAUCCUCCUUGCCCAUGUAAGGACUAUAGGUGGCUAUUUAAGUACUGACUUGGGGUGUUUUAUUAAUGCAUCUCCGACAGUACUCAGGUAUGGAUGUGUGAUGACCGCACUAUGCUACCCUGUGGUCUAAUGGUAGACGUAGCCUUCAUAUGUGAAUUAGCCACAUAUGUCGCUAGAUUUAAAUUAUGUCGCACCUACGCUCUGUUAAGUGUGAGUUGUGAGAGCAUAAUCAUGCAAACGAUGGUCUAGGGGAGUGUUCGCGGUGGUUUUCUGGAGUGGUUACAUGUCUAACCAUAGAACCAUGAAAGAAACUUAAUUGGGGAGCAUUUAAUUUCUCGGGUAGCUGUGGUGUCAUGGUUUGUGCGUGUUGGGCAUGUACUAGCGAUGUGCACUUAGUUUACUGCUUUCUUUAGUGAUAUUUUGGGAAUUGUUUGGCUGCAAUGAAGUUUUCUGCAGGUACUCUAACAGCGCACGUAUAAAUCGCUAGUUAUUGUAUCGAGAGACGAAUGUAUGCCACCAUAUAUCAGUUAGAAUAUUAAUUUUCUAAGUUUGUGAGGACGUACAGUUCGUGCAUGCAUCAUGUCGCAUUCAUACAUACAUUCUGUCUACCCCUUCCCUUACAAUGUCAUCCCUUUUAAUUAAAUAAAUGUUGCUUAAACUAAUCCUCUUUUAUCCACGGUUAUUCCUUUCCACAGAUGGACGUGCCCGCUUCACCUCGCCCCAGUGACACCUUUUUGAGCGAGUUUGGCACCCCUACUUUGCUCUGGAGGGUGUUGUAGUCUGUGCGAUAUACUGAGCCACCUCAGUACUCAUGGUGGGAGGUGGAUAUGAUAGGAGAGUUGCAGUGGUUUGCUGUGCAGGGAGUUGUCCCACCACAUGGGGGCAGGCCUGCAUGGACGGGGUGGACCUGUAACUCAGAUGGGCAGACUCCGUGGGAAGUAGCUCAGGUUGCCGCCCAUGCUAUGCUACUCAACAUCUGUCAGAGGUUUGGCGAUGAGCUGACAGGAGGGCCAGCGGCCUCCAUUCCCCGUGCUGAUCCAGCAGCAGCGGAGUGGAAGCAGGCUGAUGGUUGUGCGUUGGACCGAGGUAGAGGAGAGCGAGCUGAGAGUUCCAGUCCUGCUAUGAGUGCUGUGAUGGGUGUGCUCAAGCUGUUCAGUCAGCGAGAGGACACCUAUGCCCAGGUAAUGGUUGCUGUCUGCCAGGCUCAGGAGAUGCAACAGAAGGCUGAGAAGCGUGCUUGCAAGUUUCGCAAGCAAGCUAGGCUCCUGGAGCAAGCUCAGAAGGACCGCAACGACUGGGAAGACAUUGCGGAAUAUCGUAGGCAGCAGUGGGUGAAGGCCAUUAGAGAGAGAUCACAAGCAGGAUCAGAUGAGUCAGUUGGCUAGGGAGAGGGAGACAGUGCAGGAGCGCUUGGUGCAGAUCACUCGUGAGAGGGAUACUGUGCUCCGUGUGUCGGAGAACAGGCGCCGGGCAUGGGAGAUGCACCGGAUUCAGUCACUUGAGCGGGAGAACUAUCUGCAGGAUCAGAUUGAGGCUGGUCUUGUGGAGAUUCACCGUCUCAACAACUUGCUAUACCCUAUUCCUCACCCUGUACCCGUGUACCCGGAGGUGGGACCUCAGGUGAUCGUGGCUGAUGAUGAUGGUAUGGAGGUAGAUGGACCAGCCACGGCUGCACCACCUCUGCACGAGGAUGUGGAGUACGAGGAGCUUGAGCCGGUUAGCGAUGAGGAUGGAGAGGCGAUCUUCGACGCUGACUCGGACGACGAGCCUAGAGUGUAGUAGGUAGUUGAUAGCUGUUCUGUGAGGAUCUUUUGUAGUAUGGCAGUCCACAGUUGCGCUUUUGUAAUCAUGUUGUAAUCCGGAACCUUGAUCUUUGACUUAUGUCAUGUACUGGGAUGGUGUAAUAACUUUAUGGACCGAUUGUGUUAACAUUAUCAUGUUCGAUCGGUUAUGACGAUGGUUCCCGUGUUAUGCAUUUUACGAAUGUCUGUGUCAUGAGUUGGAUUGGUGAUGUUGUUUUGUGGAAUUGAAUUAUUGUGCCUUUUUCUAUAAAGUUAUUCUCUCGAAUACUUUCAGGCAUGAAAAUAAGUUCUUCUACGGCAAAUCUUGUCAUCAUCAAUGGUCACUAACUGUGUCUUUACAGAUGUCUCGUGGCACUAGAGGUGUGGAACAGCGUGCGAACAUGAACCCACCCCCUCCUCCUCCACCACUAAAUCCAGCUGAGCUGAUGCAAAUCAUGGUGGAAAAUCAGAGAAUGCUUACUGAAACCAUCAACCGGAUGGCAAACCAGGGUGGUCGGAAUGCACCGGAUGGGCCAGCACCCAACCAGUACAGUAGCUUCAAGGAUUUCAUGGAUACGAAGGCCCCACCUUUCGGAGAGGCUGAAGAACCCCUUCAACCUAAGUGGCUGAACACGGUGGAACAAAAGUUCCGCUUGCUUUGGCUGACCGAGGGUUUGAAGGUUGAGUAUGUAGCUCACCAACUGCAAGUACCAGCAGGCAUUUGGUGGAAUCAAUAUCGGGAGGCUCUUCCGGACAACACUGUGCUUGACUGGAAUCCCUUCCGUGAAGCUUUCAAGGAGCUUUUCAUCCCUCCUGGUGUCAUGGAGAUGAAGCAUACUGAGUUCAUGCAGUUAACUUAGGGAAACAAAACUCUGAAGGAGUAUUAGCAUGCUUUCAAUCAUCUGUCUAGGUAUGCUCCUGAGUUUGUGAACACUGAGGCAAAGAAGAUUGCUAGCUUCAAGCGGGGUCUUGGCCCCAAGUUGCUGAAAACUAUGGGCCGCACUAAGUGUACAACUUUCAAUGAGUUUGUCAGUGAUGGUCUCACCCAAGAGAACUAUAGCACUGUGUACACUGCAACCAAGACUCGUAAGAGGGCUUUUGAGGCCAGGGCAGGGGCAUCUCAGUCCAAGGCUCCAGUGGUAGCUAGGCCCCAGUAUCGUGCUCCAACUCCUAACCAGCGAUAUCGCCCUCCAGCGAAGAAAAAUCAGGUGAAGACGGGGUUCCGCAAGGGUUACUCUAUUGCUCUUCCUAGGGGCAACACGGGUCCUAGCUAUGCCAAGACUCCACCUGCCAACCGUCCGUGCUGGAACUGCAAUCAGACCGGGCACUGGCAAAGCAACUGUCCUUACCCGCCAAAGAAGGGAAACCAAGGGAACGUCCGCCAGGGGCGUGUUCACUAUACAACUGUGGAAGCAAUCCCUGCUGGUGAGGUAGUUACGGCUGGUAAGUUUCUGGUCAAUUAAUGUGAUGCACUUGUACUUUUUGAUUCUGGAGCAUCGCAUUCUUUUGUGAGUUCAGACUUUGUGUCUAAGCAUAAUCUCAAGGCAAUUACAUUUGAUAAGGGUAGUUAUUGCAUUAGUGCUGCCGGAAAUGAUAUUUCUACCAAUCAAGUGGUUUUGGGGGCAACUCUGGAAAUAGGAGACCGUCAGUUUCUUGUUGAUUUGGUUGUUCUACCUGGUGUGGGUAUAGAUGUAAUUCUGGGUAUGAAGUGGAUGAGUGGCAACGGAGUUCUUAUCGACACCACCACUCGUGUAGUGAUGUUGAGAGACCCAAAUACCAAAGAGGCGUUCUUAGUGCAACUUCCUCGAGAUAUUCAUAUCCGUAGCACGAUGAAUGCAGUUACAUCUAGGGCCAUCAAGGAUAUUCCGGUGGUGUGUAAGUUCCGAGAUGUAUUCCCAGAUGAUUUGCCCGGGCUUCCUCCAGAUCGGGAUGUGGAGUUCAAAAUUGAAUUGAUCCCAGGUACCGCUCCUAUCUCUAGAAGACCACAUAGACUACCACCAAACGAGCUAGCUGAGCUUAAGACCCAGUUGAAUGAGUUGUUAAAGAAGGGUCUUAUCCUUCCUAGUUCUUCUCCUUGGGGUUGUCCGGCUAUCUUUGUGAAGAAGAAGGAUCAGUCCUUGCGCAUGUGUGUGGACUAUCGUCCUCUGAAUGCGGUGACCAUCAAGAAUAAAUACCCUCUUCCUCACAUUGAUAUCCUAUUUGACCAGUUGUCUAAAGCCAAGGUAUUCUCCAAGAUUGAUUUGCGAUCUGGGUAUCAUCAGAUCAAGAUCCGUCCUGAAGAUGUACCUAAGACAGCUUUCUCGAUGAGGUAUGGGUUGUAUGAGUAUCUCGUCAUGUCUUUUGGUCUAACGAAUGCACCUGCUCACUUCAUGUAUCUCAUGAAUCCGGUAUUCAUGCCCGAAUUAGUCAAGUUUGUGGUGGUCUUCAUUGAUGAUAUCGUGGUUUAUUCUCACAAUGAAGAAGAGCAUACAGAGCAUCUGCGUGUAGUGUUGUCGCACUUGCGUGAGCAUCAGCUUUAUGCUAAGUUCAGCAAACGCGAGUUUUGGCUGAAGAAAGUACCUUUCUUGGGCAAUGUAUUAUCUAAAGAAGGUAUCUCGGUGGAUCCACCUAAAGUGCAAGAAGUGCUGGAUUGGAAGGUUCCAACUUCGGUGCACGAGGUCCGGAGUUUUCUCGGUCUGGCUGGGUAUUAUCGUCGAUUCAUUCCGGAAUUCUCAAAAAUAUCCAAGCCUAUGACUCGCCUACUUCAGAAAGAUGAAAAGUUUAUGUGGACGCCUGAGUGUGAAGAGGCAUUGCACAAGCUGAGGACAUUGCUAACAUCAGCUCCUGUCCUAGCUCAGCCUGAUAUUGAGAAGCCCUUCGAUGUCUUUUGUGACGCGUCGAGUAUUGGUUUGGGUUGUGUGUUGAUGCAAGAAGGUCGUGUUAUCGCGUAUGCCUCGCACCAACUUCGAAAGCAUGAGGUCAAUUACCCUACUCAUGACUUAGAAUUGGCUGCAGUUGUUCAUGCCUUGAAAAUUUGGAGGCACUAUUUGCUGGGUAAUCUAUGCAAUAUUUACACUGAUCAUAAGAGUCUCAAGUACAUCUUCACUCAACCUGAAUUGAACAUGCAGCAGCGAAGGUGGCUUGAGUUGAUUAAAGAUUAUAAUCUCCAAGUGCACUACCACCCGGGCAAGGCAAAUGUAGUUGGAGAUGCCUUAAGUCAGAAGGCGCACUGUCAUUCAGUUCAGAUGGAAGAUCCAUUGUUGUCACAUCUUAUGCACCCACUUGUGCUCAACUAGAUUUCUCUGGAGAGUUCUCUUCGCAAUCGAGUCAUCGAAUUGCAGCAAACCGAUGUAGGCAUCUACCAUAUAAAGAGGAAAAUGAAAGAAGAAGAAACCAAUCAUUUCCGGGUCAAUGAGAACGGAAUCCUAUGGUUCAAAGAUCGACUCGUGGUCCCAAAAGACCGUGAGAUGUGAAAUCAAAUCUUAUCUGAAGCUCAUUCAUCCAAGUUGUCUAUCCAUCCUGGUAGUAGCAAGAUGUAUCAGGAUCUGAAACCUCUGUUUUGGUGGACAAAGAUGAAAAAGGAGAUUGCUGCUUUUGUCACUCGUUGUGACAACUAUUGUCGUGUGAAGGUCGUUCACAUGAAAGCAGGCUUACUUCAACACUUGUCAAUUCCUGGUUGGAAAUGGGAAGAAGUCAGCAUGGAUUUCAUCGUUGGACUCCCAACUUCUGUUAUGGGUUACGAUUCUAUCUGGGUGAUUGUAGACCGUUUGACCAAGGUUGCUCGUUUUAUUCCAGUUCGAACUGACUAUCGUCCACAUCAGUAUGCAGAAUUGUACUUCGAGCACAUUGUUCAUCAGUAUGGUGUGCCUCGAACUAUCAUAUCAGAUCGUGGACCACAGUUCACUGCUCAUUUUUGGGAGUGUCUUCAUGAGCAGAUUGGUAUUCACUUGGUUCGUAGUUCCGCUUAUCACCCCCAAACGGCCGGCCAAACUGAAUGUGUUAACCGAAUCCUAGAAGACAUGUUGACGGCAUGUGCUCUCUCUUCAAAGGGUUUUUGGGUAAAGUGGUUGCCGUUAGCUGAGUUCUCUUACAACAACAGUUACCAAGAGAGCAUCAAGAUGGCUCCAUUUGAAGCCCUGUACGGUCGAAAAUGUCAAACCCCGUUGAAUUGGAAGGAAUCCGGGGAACGAAGGUAUUAUGGCAUCGAUUUCGUGAACGAAGCGGAGCAGCAAGUCUGUACCAUCCAACAACAUCUGGAAGCUGCCCAAGCUCGUCAGAAAAGUUAUCCUGAUAAGAGAAGGAAGCCGAUUGAGUUUGCAGUCGGUGACCAUGUGUAUAUCAAGGUGUCUCCGAUGAAAGGCGUACAAAGGUUCGGAGUCAAGCGAAAACUUGCACCUUGUUAUGUGGGGCCUUAUCGGAUUCUCGAGAGAAAAGGGAACGUGGCAUACAAAGUUCAACUCCCAGUUGACCUUCGUGCUAUUUUUCCUGUCUUUCAUGUAUCACAAUUGAAGAAGUGCCUUCGUGUUCUAGAAGAACGAGUGGAAGUUCGGGAUAUUAAGUUGAAAUCUAACUUGGUGUACGAGGAGAAACCUGUAGCGGUUCUCGACCACAAGGAACGGGUGACUCGUAAUCGUGUGGUUAAGUUCUACAAGGUGUUGUGGAGUAACCACAGGGAGGAAGAUGCCACUUGGGAGACGGAGGACUAUUUAAAAGAAGUUUAUAAAACAUUCUUCGAAAAUCAGUAAGCUUCCAAAUCUCGGGACGAGAUUUUUCUAAGGGGGGAGGGCUGUAACACCCUAGUGUUAUGGUUGCAUCAAUCACAUGCAUAACAUGAGCAUCAUCAUCUACUCAAGCAUAUCAUGAUCAUCAUCUACCUUGAGCCAUGUCAUUUUAUCCUUAAGUGUGCUUUAACUUGUUUAAUCAUGCUUCCUAUGCUUGUGUUUGUGUGAACCAUGCUCAUGCUUGUAUGUUAAGCCUUGGUAAUUAGUUUAUCUGUGCUUAACUCAACCUUAGGAACAAUGUUCAUGUUGAUCACUUCUCCAAAAUAAUCACUUAAGUCAUACUUCCUUGAAUAAGCCCUAGAAACCUCUUUUGCUUAGGAUUUUAAAAAGUGUUUCAUAAAAUGUUUGCAUGUCAAAACUAUCUACAGAAAAGUUGUAGAAAAUGUUAUAAGGAACAAAAGUUGUUUUAUGGCCAUCGCAUGAAAAUGAACACAUCUUGCUCAAAAAGUGCUUUCAAGGCAGUUUUGGGGUCUGCUUUGGCACUUAACCAGUUUGCGCGAUCGAUUUUGAAAACCUCAUAUCUUUCAAUCCAGGCCGAUCUGGGUUUUGCUCUAGUUGACAAUGUUGUAGAACUCAGCUAGUACUCCAACUUUGUCAACUACGCCAUCUCUUAAUUUGUUUUGGUUUGUGAGUUAAUCGCUGUUGAAUUCGCUCUAUCAGACAACCAUCGCCAUGACUGAAUCGAAGCCGAGCUCGUCGACGUGGCCGACCGGCGACAGAACAACGACGACAUUUGGCGCCCGUACGUCAUUCUUGGCCCCGCUCGUCAGCUCCCAGCGCGCGCAUGACCUCCACGGCGAUGCCCCGGACGCAGUGGACGCGUCCAUUCUCUCCUCCCUCACGCUCUCUCGCUAGAAAAGCGACCGCAGCGAGCGCAACGUCGCGUGCUCACUCCGGCGACCUCAAACACACUCCUCGCUGCGUUGCUGCUCACAAAAACUCACCCACAGCUCCGCCGUAUCCCGCUCUCCAUCCUCCACCCACAAACUCGCCGUGAAACCCUCCGGUGAGCCGACAUUUCCGACUUCCCCCAAAUCAGGUCGCCGUGACCUUCUUCUCUGGCGAACUCAAUGCUGACCUCCUCGGAGCCUCUCGUCUUCUCUGGUUAGGUCCUAGAGGUAGCUUAGGUCAUUAGCGAACGUUUGCGCCACUUGGUGGACGCUCUACCGCACUCAACGUCGCCGGACACGACGCGCAGCGCCGCCGUGUUUCCGCCGGAGUUCGGCUCUCUUGUGGCCAGCUCAUUCCACACCGUUUCAAGCCUAGUCACCUACCUAGGAAGCUUCGCCAUAGUUCACUGGUGCUGUAGGAAACCCUAGGUCGCGCUCUACCGGCCUGAGAGCUCAGGCGUAAUGCCGAGCGCGUCCGCCGAGCCGCCAUGGUCGACGGCAAGCCAUUUCCGGUGGCUCCGCCAUGGGGAAAAGGGGGUCACUCGGUUCGCAAGGGUCUAGGGAUCACGUUGGUACCCUUGGUUUGGUCGGAGACCUCACCGUUGCAGAGAAAUCACCGGUGAAAGUCGUCUCGGUCGUAAGGAAGACGACCCUGAUACGCGGGACCCGCUGUCAGCGACACACCGUUUCCCUCCUUUUCUUUUAUUCAAAUCCAGAUUUUUGGUAUUCUUAUAAAAAUCAUAUCUUCUGUUGCUUUGAUCCAAAAAUUGUGAAAUAAAUUUUGUUGUGUUCCUUGAGAUGGCUAGUUUUUAAUAAAAAUAUAAAAUGUACCAUGUUUUCAGGGAAAAGUAAUUGUUAUGAUUUAAUCUUGUUAUUUAUGAGUAAAUUCAUAUCUUUUGUUAUACUGCUCCUUUUGCUAUGAAAUUUUUGGUGUAGUUUCUGAGUGUUAUUAGAAUGUUAUGAUAAAUAUUUCAUGAUUUUUGGAGUACUGUAUCUGUGAUAUGUAUUUUAUGUUUGUGAUAUGGCAUGUUUUCUUAUUUAAAUCAUAAUAAAAGUUUGGUGCUUAUGCUGGUGCUCUACUCUUGUGUCAAACUUAAUUAUUGUAAUAGUAACAUGUAAAUAAUUUGAAAUCUGUUGUUUGACACUAUCUGAGCUAUGUUUCCUGUUUGCUUAUGCUGGUGCUCUUCCAAGUUGGGUUCCAGAAAUAGUGUUCUCUGUUUUUCUGGGACAGAACCUGGAACUUUGUUUAAAUCACUUGUUUAACUUAUGAAUCUUGCUAUGAUGUCUAAAGAUGAAAUGUUGAAAAUUUCAUAAGCUUUCCAGAAUGUCCUCAUUCAUAUUUGUUGCAUCUGUAUAGCUCCAGUUAUGAUUUAUUUCUUGAGCUGCUCUGUUAUGUAAGGAUUGCUGUUUAUGGUUUGACUUGCUAGGUCUUGCUAAGUUAAUUAGUUGUCCUUUGUGAGUUUAUCUUGGAAGUUUACUCAGUAAAUGAGUGUCCAGCGAAGUUCUAAUUAUAUUGUCAAGCAUUCAUCCCCAUCUAGUAUGCACCCAUCCUUACUUAUCAUGCAUGCAAUAGGUGCACCGGAUGCAACAGCUUCAUUCGAGCUCCAGGUGAACCCCGAGGGUCAAGAGAUCAACCCGGCGAUGGAGGUCCAGCAAGCCGAACACGUGGAGCCCGAAGAGAAGAUUGAGUGCCCGAAUCAUGAGCCUGCAUCAUUCGUGAAAGGCAAGCCUCGGAGCAUCUUAAGUCUCCCCUUUUUUCCGAAAGAUUACUUGAUUAUGUUACAUCUAUUGAUGCAUUACUUAUAGGAGUUGUGAUGAAACCCUUGCUGCAUUUUACUCAUUCCUUGUCCAGAUAUCUUACCACUACCUGGUUAUAGAGUUAGGAUCAAGUAGCGGCUUAGUCAUGCUUUAAUCGGUAGAAGUCAGGUGAUAUCCUGUCACCUGCGCGAGAUAGGGUUGUGUUGGAUCCCGAUUGUCUAUAUGUGCUAUCGUGGAAUGAACCUGUUUAAAAUGACUUAAGCCGGGCGGAGUUUUGCAAGGUUGUAGUAACUCCGUCUGUGGCAGCUAAGGACCGAUCGUUGUACGUCCUCUUGUCAUGUUGAACGCAUGAAUAACACUUAGUUGGUUGGAUAACUCGUUCCGACCGUGAAGCCUAGUAGUAUGACUCAGGCCGGAAGACCGGCAACUAUAAAGUGCGCACUACCGGAGGAAGUGCGGUGUGUGGGGGACCAUUGGCGUAAGACCAAAGGCAGGUGAGUUAAAAUUCCUGACCUCCCUAGCAAAGUGGUAGCCCUAGGAGUGCGGCGCUGAUCGGAGCCGCGAUUCCUGAGUCGUACCAAAGGUGACCCGCUUGCUCUCCGACGGGGGCUGUUUGGGUGAGUGCUAGGAAUAACCCUCCAGCUGGAUAGGAAACGAUUCGAAUCGCCGUCUCUCCCGGAUAGUGAGAACUUGACAGAGCAACGGCAAACGUAGCGUCCACUAAUGAACAAUGGUUCGUGAUGAUGGUGAUAGCAAGGAAGAGCAUAUGAUGAACUUGAUAUGGUUAUUAUUGCUUGUAAUAAUUAAGUGAUGUGUUGUAGUCCAGGUGCUAAUCUAGUGGUAGGCUAAUGAUGAUUAAUAUGAUGCUUUUACUAUAAUGUAGCUAUCUAUUAAGCAUUUAGCAACUGUUGAGUCAAGCCCGCUCCACUUUAUACUUGGCCUUGCAUGAUCCUUGGUGUCUUUUAUGUUUUACUAGAUGGGUAAGUCUAGCUGAGUACAUCCCCGUACUCAGGGUUUAUUCCCACCUGUUGCAGAUGAUAUCUUUUAUGAUGGCUUCUGCAAGACCUGUCUCCUUCCUGCUGGGGAUGAAGACUAAACCGUUGGGCACGGUUCUCUAACUACUUCGUAUCUGUUGCUUUUGAUGGAUGGCAUGAGACUCUGGCUAAAACAAGAACUUGUGAAAUGAACUUUGGAAUGUGAGUUGUAAACUAUUUUGCUUCCGCUACUACAAACAUGUGUUGUAAUAACUAAGUAACUCUGAUGUGGUGCCGCUUCGACAGCAAUAAAUGACAAUGUAACAUUCGUUGUGUUAUGUUGAACUAUUACGAUCUUGGUUUGUUGCAAGUUGGUUUGAAGUCCUUCAUGAUUUCAGUUGACUACCGGGAUUAUAUGGGCUCAAGUUUGGAAACUUGAUUACUAGUUGAUCAUUUCUACACUUGAACUCUUAUAAUUUGGUCGGUUCUGUGACAAGCACCACGCUUAAUUCAAAAAGGCAUUGAAAGUAAAAUCAACACAGCUCUGAGUUUAAAAAAUCAAACUAAACACCUUGUCUAAUUAUGACUCAAGAAAACAGUUUAAACUAAGCACCAUGCCUAAUUCAAAUGGUGUAUGAAAUUUCUCUAAACCUUAAGCAUACUAUAGCAAACAAAGGUAACAUGAAAGUUUAUAGGUUCAAAUAGAGAUGAAAGACCAUAAUCAACAAAUUGAAUAAAGGUAGAGAUAACCAAUAUUAGCAGCAUAGGAUUUUCUAAAUAAGGCCAUUCCCCCAAGCUAGAAUUUUGCAAAGUAAAUGUUAGCUCGAGUGGAUGUUAUUCAAAAUUGCAUAAUGAUAGGUUAGUGAUACUUGGUGCUGCCGUUAUUAAUUCUCUCACUUCAAACCUGAAAUGGUUAGUGACAAGAAUAUUCACAGGAAUAUUUUGACAAUUCUAUUUCUAUGCUAAAGGUGCAGGCUUAAUUCAUUUUUUAAGAGUGGUUAUUUUAGAACACAAAGUUGUUGUUGGGAAACCUUCUGAUUAUUAUAAUUUGAGUUGGUGAGGUGGUUUCCUCUAGAACAUUAGCCUUUGUGCACCUAUAUCCAGAUUACAACAAGAUCUAUAAUAUUUAUGAUAAACAUAUGCAUCUACAACCACCCUCUUAAUGAUUUUAUGAAUAGGUAGAAUAAAGGGGUUGAGGAUCUCAUGUGUGAUAAUAUUAGAGACUAUUUGAUCCAAGAGAUUUCUCAUAUGAGCAUGGGUCUGAUAGGGUGUUUAAUGAAAUAAUUCACAUACUCGAAAAUAUGAUCUCCCUUUUCAAACUCCAAGGGUGUCUCUUCAUGGUUGUCUAUAUGCAAUAAGUUUGCAUCUAUUAUUUCAUGCCUAUGACAUUUAUUAGAUAUUUUAUUUUCCAGUAUUUCCCAUGAAUUGAUGUCUCCAAGGUUGGUCUCUUCUAAAGCAUUUUCUAAACAUGGUUGAGUUAUGUUUAUUAAAGAAAUUGAUGUAAGCUCAACAUUUGAAUUUAGACCAAGUUUAGAUUCUAGUGCCAAAACUUCAUCUUCUUCCAUCCAUUCUUUGACAAUAGCAUAUGUAUUUCUAAUAUGUUCUACAUGUUCCUACUAUUGUCGUUGCUCUUCAAGGGCAUUCAUGUAAUCUUCAUGACUCCUAUUCUUAGGAUGUCUUGAUGGAUUUCUAGGGUCAUUAUGAAGUUUAGUAGAAGGAGCAUACAAAGAUUUAUUGGGGGUCAAGGAUGGGUUUAGAGAUGGGUUCAAAGACAAUUAAUAUGGGCAUAGAAGGGGAGAAGAUAAAAUUUAUUUCUAAGUGGCUUGGCUCUCCUUCUAUGGCAUCACUUGGCAUGCCAUCCCUGUAUUUUUUCCAAUGUCUUUUUUAGGAAGAAAAGGAAGAUGAUGAUGGUUUUUCCAAGAUACUCUUCUAAGAAGAUCUGAUAUGCAUUGAUUUAGGAGCAUCUUAGCUAACUGGAAGUCUAAAUCAUCGAAGUGGAAUUUUAAAGGUUUAGGAUUGAUAGCUAAAUCUUAGGAAUGAGAUGAUUGUAUUUUAGUUAUGAAGACUUCUGUUUUUAAUUUAGAUAAUAAAUUUGUUUCUCCUUUUAGGGAGUUCAAAAAUAGCCAGAGCAACUCUUUUGAGCAUAAAAUCUUACUUUUAAAAGAUAAGAAAGGACACUCAAGAAGAUAAAUCUAGGGAUUCCAUGUAACUCUUGGUAAGACCCAAAUGUUGAAUAAACAUGGGGCCCAGCAAACCAAAGUCAGGAUUAAUGAUCCCAUGAUAUAUUUGAGAAGGGUUUAUUAUAUUGUGGAGACAUGGGCAUAGCCUAUAGAUAUCAUGAUAAGGUUUGUGCUUUAAGCUUUUGCACAUGCCAUAAAGAUAGGUAUGGAAUUUAAAUAAAUAUCCAUAAGGAUAAACACAAAAAUAAUGAAGAGACUAUGAUAAAAUAGGAAUAGAUAAAAGUACAAUACAAGUUUAAGCUAAACUAAAGCAAAAUCAGCAAACUAUUCCCCGGCAACAGCACUAAAAAUGCUUGUUGGUAUAAAUUAACUGCACUCCAUUAAAUAAGUUUUAAGUAGGAUUAUCCGCAAGCGCACAGAUAUCAUACCAGUGUCACAUUUUACCCAGAGGUUUUAAAUAUUGUAUCCACAGAGAAUAGUUGUGAUAAUGACAAAGUAUAUAGACUUAACCCUACAAUUAGAUUAGACCAUAUCAAGAAAAAUGAAAUAGCUAAUGCACUCUGGUUCCGAUUCUGGUAAACUUUGUCUAAGACCAUCUUAUGAGGCAAGUAACCCGAAUAGGAGAAGAAACAGAGUAAUCUUCUACCAGGCACCUAUAAGCCUAUGAGUCCUAUCAACGGGAUGUGGACUACCAAGGAAUCAACGCAGCUAUAAAGUCACCUACGCAAGCUACCACAGUCCGGCCAAUCACGGGACAUCCACAAGCAAAGCUAACAUAGGCACCACGCCUACACUACGAAAUACUACUUCAACCAAGUCAUGACCAAGAUCAAAGCACUCAAUAAUGAACGAUUAAGAAUAAGUUCCUUACUUAAAUCGGAAUGGUAAGUACAAAAGAACCACAGAACGCAGCUCUAGGCGAGGGAACUAGAUCCAGACGAAUAUAGCAACGACGAAGCACCAAUAGGCCGAAACUUCUCCAGAAUCUCUACUCCUAUACUCAAUCUCUCUAAUCUCUAAACAAGACUAGAUCUAUAAGAACUAGUCUCUCCUAAUUGCUACAUCUAGAUGAACUAGAUCUAGAUGAACUAGAUCUAGAUCAACUAGAGGGACCCUAACCCUAAUUAUGUAGAGAUUACGAAGCUCCGAGGUGUAGAAUGCCUCUUGGGGGAGCCUUGGGCAUCAUUAUAUAGGCCGAGGUGUAGUAGGGGGCAGGGAACUGUCAUGUCAGCGAUCCGCGUCAUCAUUUUGUGUGCACCGCCGGAUCAAACUGACUUAAAAUCGACGGAGGCAUACUUUGCUUGGCUUCCAAGGAGGCAUGGGAGGAAGACUCCAGAAGGCGGCGGGCAUCGGGCAAAAUAGGGCGCUGACCAGCCCUAGGGUGGGGUCGGCCGGCCCCACCUUGUUUCCUCUGCUGGUCUCAUUCCUUCGGGUGUCUUCAAGACCCUUCCUGGGUCUUCUCGUGUUGUUUUCCGUCGUGGAUGAGUUUCAUGGUAAAUAUGCACUAGAAUCCCUCUUUUCAGCUCUUUGUGAAAUAAACCUUAGAAAAAGGAGAAUAUGCAAAACUCGUGGAAAUUGUCAGUUUAAACCCAAGACUAGUGUGUUUUCAUGUUCUCCUUUGGGUUUAAAUUUCUAAUAAAAGUUGACAUUAUUGACUAUCAACAAUUCCCCCAAGCUUACCUUUUGCCAGUCCCUUGGCAAACCAAGCCUAAGCAGUAUAUGUAUUUGGAUCAAGAGUUGCUAUAAUGUUUUCAUUCUUUCCAAGUACACAUGCUCCUAAACAAAGAUUCUCCUCCGGAUUAGUCAAUAACUGCUCUAAUCUUCAAACUUACCCAUUUUACCCUUAACCAUGGGGCUUUACAGCUUUUGCAUGAGUCUUGAGCAAUCAGAAGACAGAACAAUCAGGUCAAGCACUAUGUCUCAAAUUCUUUGCAGAACCAUUAUUCCAGAGUUUUUUUUAUAAAUUUUCAGAAUAAAACUCAGAGCUUAAUUGUAUGACACCCUCAAGUCUCUCAAUGUAUGUGGUAUUUAUUGUUCUCUCUUGAGGCAUUAAUGAUGCUAUGCCUCCAAUAGCUAAAGGUAUAUAUAUGGUAGAGCUUAUAGGAGUGCUAAUAACAAGGAUAGGCAUACUUGCAAUACAUGUAUUGUAAAGUCAACUAAUGGAUCCAUAGAGAAUCGAGGCAUAUAAUCAAACCAAGGUGUGCAUGCAUAUGGAAUAUGGUGGAUGGGGGUAUCUGUGGUAUUUGUGGCCAAUUUUUAUUUCUACUUUUGCUCCUUGAGAUAAAUCUCUCCUUUGAUCUUGGAACUUUUCGCAGGAAAACAUGGGCUAUCUUUAUUUAUUUUUUUAUUUUUUUUAUUUUUUUAUUCAGGGAGGCGGCAUCUAGUACCCAUUGUUUUAAUUACUGAGACACUUGUCCAUCUUUUACUCCUUUUUCUUCGCUUCUUAUCUUUUUUUCAAUAACUUUCCUUUUGCAUAGCCACAUGCAUCCUUUGAAUACAAUAUGGUAAUUGGAGAGACAACAAUAAGUAUUUAGAGCAAUUAAACAAAGGUUGUCCUAUGGGUUUGGUUUAUGUUGGUGUUUACUCCCAGUGUAGGAGAAUAAUGCAUAUGUGAACUGGAGUGUGUACGUGAUCUUGGUCUUAAAAGCAUGACAAGACUCUCAUAAGGUAUACUACAAAGGUUGACUGAACUCAAUGCAAAGCAAGCAACAUAAAUGUGCAAAAAGUUUUCCUAACUCUAGAUGUAUAUUAUAUAUGGCUUUGGUAGGAAUUCAAACUAGUCAUACAAGAGCUCAUCAUGUUGGAUUUCAGGUUUUCAAAAUAAAUCUCCAGAACUUAGUAAUGCUAGGAAUAAGAUAAAUAGCAGCUCAGACUUUCAAUAAUCAUAUCAACCAACUACCUAGACUUAGCUCAAACUUAUGCCUCCACAAGUUGCAGGUUCAGAGUAAACCUUCAAAUUAAAAUAGUAAUGUCCAAAACUUGAGAGAAUCUAAUGUUGAAAUCUAGGUACUUGUAAAGAAAUAUAACAGAGCAACUAUUCAUCAUCUCCAAGACAAAAAUUUUAAUGUUCAUAAAAUUUUUAUUUAGCUCUAGUUUAACCUGACUGUGAACAGACUCUAACACUUAACUAAUUAUAAACUCACAAAAAGACUAUGACUUGUGGACCUUCAUGUGCCCACAUAUUUUUGGCAUUUUUAUGUUUUUUCUAUGAUACUAUGGUGAACCUUCAUGUGCUCAAAUAUUUUUGGUAUUUUUUAUAACUAUGUAGACUCGAAAAUCACUUAAGUAUAAUUACCUCAUAACUAGAAGUUUAAAUCAUCGAAGUGGAAUUUUAAAGGUUUAGGAUUGAUAGCUAAAUCUUAGGAAUGAGAUGAUUGUAUUUUAGUUAUCAAGACUUCUAUUUUUUAAUUUAGAUAAUAAAUCUGUUUCUUCUUUUGGGGAGUUCAGAAAUAGCCAGAGCAACUCUUUUGAGCACAAACUCUUGCUUUUAAAAGAUAAGAAAGGACUCUCGAGAAGAUCUGGGGAUUCCAUGUAACUCUUGGUAAGACCCAAUUGUUGAAUAAACAUGGGGCCCAGCAAACCAAAGUCAGGAUUAAUGAUCCCAUGAUAUAUUUGAGAAGGGUUUAUUAUAUUGUGGAGACAUGGGCAUAGCCUAUAGAUAUCAUGAUAAGGUUUGUGCUUUAAGCUUUUGCACAUGCCAUAAAGAUAGGUGUGGAAUUUAAAUAAAUAUCCAUAAGGAUAAACACAAAAAUAAUGAAGAGACUAUGAUAAAAUAGGAAAAGAUAAAAGUAUAAUACAAGUUUAAGCUAAACUAAAUCAAAAUCAGCAAACUGUUCCCCAGCAACGGCACCAAAAAUGCUUGUUGGUAUAAAUUAACUACACUCCAUUAAAUAAUUUUUAAGUAGGAUUAUCCGCAAGCGCACAGAUAUCAUACCAAUGUCACAUUUUACCUGGAGAUUUUAAAUAUCAUAUCCACAAGGAACAGUUGUGAUAAUGACAUAGACUUAACUCUACAAUUAGAUUAGACCAUAUCAAGAAAAAGGAAAUAGCUAAUGCACUCUAGUUCUGACUCCGGUAAACUUUGUCUAAUAUCAUCUUAUCAGGCAAGUAACCCAAAUAGGAGAAGAAAUAGAGUAAUCUUCUACCAGGCACCUAUAAGCCUAUCAGUCCUAUCAACGGGAUGUGGACUACAAAGGAAUCAACGCAGCUAUAAAGUCACCUACGCGAGCUACCACAGUCCGCCCGAUUAGGGGACAUCCACAAGUAAAGCUAGCCUAGCCUCCACGCCUACACUACGAAAUACUACUUCAACCAAGUAAUGACCAAGAUCAAAGCAUAUGGGUUGUGAACCAAAGAACGAUUAAGAAUAAGUUGCUUACUUAAAUCGGAAUGGUAAGUACAAAAGAACCUCAGAACGCAGCUCUGGGCGAGGGAACUAGAUCCAGACGAAUAUAGCCACGACGAAGCACCAAUAGGCCAAAACUUCUCCAGAAUCUCUACUCCUAUACUCAAUCUCUCUAAUCUCUAAACAAGACUAGAUCUAUAAGAACAAGUCUCUCCUAAUUGCUACUUCUAGAUGAACUAGAUCUACAUGAACUAGAACUAGAUCAACAAGAGGGUCCCUAACCCUAGUUAUGUGGAGAUUACGAAGCUCUAGGGUGUAGAAUGCCUCUUGGGGGAGCCUUGGGCGUCAUUAUAUAGGCCGAGGUGCAGUAGGGAGCAAGGAACCGCCAUGUCAGCGAUCCGCGUCUACAUUUGUGUGCACCGUCGAAUCAAAUUGACUUAAAAUCGACGGAGGGAUACUUUGCUUGGCUUCCAAGGAGGCAUGGGAGGAAGACUCCUGGAGGCGACGGGCAUCGGUCAAAAUAGGGCGCCGACCGGCCCUAGGGUGGGGCCGGCCAGCCCCACCUUUUUUCCUCUGCGGGUCUCAUUCCUUCGGGUGUCUUCUAGACCCUUCCUAAGUCUUCUCAUGAUGUUUUCCAUCGCAGAUGAGUUUCAUGGUUGUUGACAUCAUUUUUGGACAAGAAUUGGGGUAAUCAGUAAGGCUUGGAUCGGCAGUCAGAAAGGUGAUGUGUCUGGCCGAUAAGGAGAUUGCCGAUAGCCUAUGAUACCGAUGACAAUGCAACAGGAGGAAGAUAUGGCUAAGUCUGGAGAUGGUUGCUGAUUGGUCCCAAUGUCUGAUGUUGAUGAUUGCCGAUGCCGAUGAAGGAGAAUAUGCCGAUGAUGGAGAAGGAAGACAUGGGGGUCGCUGGGAGGACAAUGGUGGUAUGUCGAUCACCUAGAAUAGAUAGGUUGUUACUUUCCAUAAUUGUUAGUUUAUUUUAUGUACGAGUUCUUUUUUGUUUGGAAUUAAAAUCCUAGUUGUAUACGGUUGUAACUCUUUAGUACAAAGUAUAAAUAUAGGCCUAGUAGCGAUGUAAGAAGACAAUGAAUCAAUAUCAUACACAAGUUUUUACAAUCUACUUUUGCAUCUACUUUUUUGAUGACUUCGUCAACUCACACGUUUGCUUCCAUUUACGAGUUCUUAAGAAUUCAACGAGUCAUACUCGGUGAAUUCUCGAGUUCCGUGUGAGUACCUCUUGGCCGUGGCAUCUGGGCGCAUUGCUGUUGCUGGGACCAAAGUAUUCGAGUUAUCACCUUUGUCGAUUGUUUAGGUCAAAUCGACUGCACGCCUCAACGUUUGAAUCGGGUAUUACCCCUUUGUGUUUGCAGAUUAACUUUUGCAUCAACACGUCUUUUGGCACGCCUAGUGGGACACAUCUAUCAACAAAAUUAACAUGGCUACGGCUGAUCUCGAUACGGAGAACGUCAUUGCUAUCAUAGAAGCUGAUCUCACGGACGAGCAGAAGCAGGCUAUGGCAACAAGAGCGGUGAAGUAAUCUAGAAGCAAGAGCUGCCGAUGCCUCGAUAGAUUACGUUUGAAGCCAAUCCUCGUAAAUUGCAAGACAUGGUUGACAAUGCUAUUAAUCGUGCUUUGAUCAAUCAAUCCAGUGUGUUGUCCAAUACUGUUUAUAAUGUUGUGGCUAGAACUUUUAAAGAAGGACAGACACCACCAUUAUAUAUCGGCCCUACCUAUCAUCAGCCAGGUUGUCAUCGGUUACGGCUCCAUCGGCUCCUCUGGCCGUUGCGGGUAUAGAAGUUACUUCUCCUCCAAGCACAUUAGGGUUGAUUGAUGGGCAAUCUACACCGAUGAGACCUAAUCCAACGACAUCAGAGGGAUGGGUUCAGCUUAACACAGAUCUAUCGGCAUCGGCAAUGUUAGGAUCUGUAUUUUAGAAUUGUCAAGUUCCUCCCAAUUGGUGGGGGAUAUGGUAUGCCUCCGGAGUUUUUCGCAAAUAGUUCUGGAACAUCUCAGGUGACUGAUUUAGCAGGAAAAGCUCCUAUAACAUCGGCACCUCCAUUUUCGCCGAUGACUCAAAUUCCUCAGUAUUCUACAACUACUACUGCACUACCUGUUACUGGGAAUUUUCAAAUGCCAACGUUCCAGAUGCCUAACGCAAAUUAAUCGGCAGAUCUAUUGUCGACUCAACAAAGAUUCAUGACUCAGACAGGGUAUGUCAACCCAGCAAUGACAUCCAAUUAUCAGCCAUCGGCAGGCCCUGCGCCGAUGAAUGCUAACAACGGAUGGACAGGGCAGUUUGUCUUUCCACAUGUGACACAACAGAAUCAUGAGGCUACAGGAUUCCAACAAGGACAGAUGCAGGUUAGUUUUCAGAAUCAAGGACCAGCCAAUCAGCCGAUGAAUCUUGCUCAGCAGAUUGGUGGCCAGCAAGCUAUGGCCAAUGUUAUGUUUCCUAGAGAACGUGCACCUCAGAGACACGUGGAAGCUUAUCAGCAGGUGCCAGAACCUCAACCCACACAUCGGCAGGAUGCCGAUGCCCAUUAGGCCGAUAAGAUAGCAAAAGUUAUGAGGGAUCAAUUUGCAAUAAAACCAAAGGUCAUACUUAUUCUUAUCAGACAUCGUAUCCUCCUACAUAUGAUUUGAGUCCACUCCCAAAUCGGUACAAAGUACCAAAUUUCACUAAAUUCUCUAGACAAGAUGAUACGUCAACUAUGGAACAUGUUAAUCGGUUCAUCAUCCAAUGUGGAGAAGCUGCCAACAGAGAUGAUUAAGAGUUCAUUUGUUUUCAUCCUCUUUGUCUGGAUCGGCAUUCACUAGGUUUAUUUCAUUGCCUCCAAACUCACUUAUUACUUGGGCCGAUCUAGAGAAGCAGUUUCAUAAGUAUUUCUUCUCUAUGGUUCAUGAGAAGAAAAUUACCGAUCUAAUUAGACUGAGGCAACGUAAUGAUGAAUCAGAGGAGAGUUUUGUGUAGAGGCUGAGAGAUGUAAAGAAUAAAAGUUACAGUCUGGAUCUAGAUGAUCGGCAGUUAGGCGAUUUGGCUUUCCAGGGGUUAUUGCCAUAUAUUAAAGACAAAUAUGCUUCUCAAGAGUUUGAGAGUGUGAGAAAUUUGGUACAGAGAAUUUCUGAUCAAUAUAUCAAGGCUUUUGAACCUAGGAAAGCUUGUAAUAAGAAAGUGUCAUUUGUUGAUGAAGCAACAAGUUCAGAUUCUGAUGAAGAACCAGUCAUCGGCUUGGUAGAGUGGGUGAAGAGUAAAAAGCUGAUGUCUUGUCCUUUUGGUCAAAAGGAACCAGAAAAGUUUGCUUUUGAUAUCACCAAGGCUGAUAGGAUAUUUGAUUUCUUGCUUCAGGACGAGCAGAUUAAAUUGUCACCUAAUCAUGUGAUCCCAUCGACAGAGGAGUUGAAGAAAAUCAAUAUUGCAAAUGGCAUAAUGUAACGUCACAUAGCACAAAUGAGUGCAAAGUGUUUAGGCAGUAGUUGCAAUCGGCUAUAGAAUUUGGACGGAUCAAGUUUGAUAAUUCCAAAGCUUAGAAGCCGAUGAAAAUUGAUCAACAUCCUUUCCAUGUAAACAUGUUGGAUGCCAAAGGUAAGACUAAGGUCCUAACAUCAGAGGCAGCCGAAAAGAGCCCAUGGUAGAUCCUCAGCAUCAAGUAACCACCGAUGACACUAAGGGAAAGGGCUUGAUCAAGGAAGGUAGCAGCUCUGGACGACCCCCUCGAUCUAGUGUUGUGAUUACCCAAAGGCAGCAUCGAGAAACAUGGCAGCAACGUGAAGAUUGGUAUCACCGUCGGCAAGAGGAUCGAUGCCGAGAAGAAGAAAGAUGCCGACAAGAGUGGAAUCGACAUAAAGAUCACUAGAAUUGCCCGUUCUUUAUUCAUUGCUGGGAACAAAAUAUUAAAUUACCCACUGUCAGAGACUGUCCUAAAUGCAAUGGUUAUAAUCGGUAUGAUCGGUCAGAUCGGCAUUUUUAGAACAAUGAUCGACGUUUUAAUGAGCUGAUCAGAGGAAGGAUGUCAGUCCAUGAUCGGCUGGGGGGUAGGCUUAGCGUGCAUGAUAGGCUUGGUGAACGUGUUGGUCAUUUUCCAUGGAACCAAGAGGAACUUGAAGAAAUGGCAAAUGCAUAGGUUCCCGAUGAGUUUAUAUUUUGCAGAGAUGCUAAUACUCAUCGAGUAGAGUCAAGAGAAGUUGGCUAUUAGCCAGUGCAGACACCAAAGCUUCCCCAAUGGUGCCUAGAAGGACUAACAAGAACACAGAAGAGAAAGAUGCAGCGAGAACGGCAAGAAGAAUUGAGUUGGGAAGAAAAUUCUUCUAAGUCUGAAAAUCGACUGCAAUCGGACCGUAAGGGGAAACGACCAUCGGUAGAAGUUAACAUGGUAUUUAUGUUGCUGAUAGAGUUUCUUGCACCCUUUAGCGAUGAUGAGGAAUUAAAUCUCCCUGACUAGAUAGCUCAGUUGGCACUUGAUCCAAUGAUAGCCAUGUUUGAGAAGCCUUCCGAUGAUGAAAGACAGCAUCUUAAAGCUCUGUUUGUCAAAGGCAGGGUUGAUGGGCAGCCAUUGUCCAAAAUACUCAUUGAUGGGGGGGCUGCGAUCAACAUUAUGCCACAUGUAGUAUAUCAGAAACUUGGCAAGGGAGGUCAGGAUUUGACCAAGACUGAUAUGAUAUUGAAAUAUUUUGAAGGGAAUGUGUUUCCAAUUAAUGGAGCUAUAUGUGUUGAAUUAACCAUCGGCAGCAAGACUUUGCCGACAACUUUCUUUGUCAUCAGUGGAAAAGGUGCAUAUAAUUUACUGCUGGGGAGAGAUUGGAUUCAUGCCAAUUGUUGUAUUCCUUCUACAAUGCACCAGUGUCUUGUUCAGUGGGUAGGUGACAAAAUUGAAAUUGUCUCGGGAGAUUCUUCAUAUGUCAUUGCAUCGGCAGAGUCAGACACCUAUGAGCGUACCAGAUGCAUUUUAGGAGAGGUUUGGGAGAAAGAUUUCCUCAAGCUUACCGAUUAUGAAAUUCCACCAAUCCAAGCUGUUGGUUCUGAUGAAGAGGUUUAAUGGAUAGGUUUGCCGAUGAUGGAAAGUUAGGACAGGGGUUUACAUCGGCUGACGAUUUAAUAGAUAGGUAAUGGUGAUAGGUCAAGACCUACUUUUAUUAGUGCUAAGUUAGAUCCUGAAUGCAAGCAGCAAUUAACCGAUUUAUUAAAGGAAUAUAAAGAUUGCUUUGCUUGGGAUUAUACCGAGAUGCCUGGUUUGGACCGAUCAAUUGUUGAACAUCGGUUGCCUAUUAUAUCUAGAUUUUGGCCACAUCAGCAACCAACACACCGAUGUAACCCUAAUAUUCUUCCGGAUAUUAAGGCUGAAAUAACCAAACUCAUUGAGGCUAAGUUUAUUCGGCAGUGUCGGUAUGCCGAAUGGAUUUCUAAUUUUGUUCCUAUCUACAAAAAGAAUAGAAAGUUUCAUGUUUGUAUCGACUGUAGAAAUCUCAAUAAAGCUAUGCCGAUGGAUGGUUAUCCAAUGCCAGUUGCCGAUUUGUUAGUCAAUGGUACGGCUGGACAUCGAAUUUUUAGUUUUAUGGAUAGCAAUGCAGGGUACAAUCAAAUAUUCAUGGUUGAAAAAGAUAUUCCCAAGACUGUAUUUAGAUGUCCCGGUCAUGUUGGAUUGUUUGAAUGGAUAGUCAUGACUUUUGGCUUAAAAAUUGGUGGUGCUACAUAUCAGAGGGCCAUGAAUUUUAUUUUUCAUGAGUUCAUCGGCAAGUUGGUGAAAAUCUACAUUGAUGAUGUGGUGGUUAAGUAUGGGGAUUUCACAAAACAUCUAGCCGAUUUGCGAAAGGUGUUGGAAUGCACAAGAAAACAUGGUUUGAAAAUGAACCAUAAUAAGUGUGCAUUUGGUGUAUCGGCAGGUCAGUUUCUAGGUUUCAUGGUACAUUAGAGAGGGAUUGAAAUUAGCAGAAGGUCUAUUGAUGCGAUUGGUAAAAUAGUUGCUCCUACCAAUAAAACUGAACUUCAAUCACUGAUCAGCAAGAUUAAUUUUAUCAGACGAUUUAUAUCUAAUUUGUCGGGUAAGAUUCGUGCUUUCAGCCCUUUGCUUAAGUUAAAAGCCGAUCAGCAGUUUGUGUGGGGAAAAGAGCAAUAAUUAGCCUUGGAUGAAAUCAAGAAUUAUUUAGCAAAUCCUCCAGUUUUGGUUCCACCUCAGCAUGGAAAGCCCUUCAUAUUAUAUUUAUCUACUGAUGAUGUGGUCAUCGGUUCGACUCUCAUUCAGGAGUUUGAAGGGAAAGAACGUGCAAUUGAAAAAUUAUGUUUAUGAUUGUACAUUUCCUGUGUCAAGUUAAGACAUUACUUACUAUUGGCCGAAUGCACUGUCAUAUGCAAAGAUGACGUAGUCAGAUACAUGUUGUCAAUGCCGAUUAUGAGUGGUAGAAUCGGCAAAUGGAUAUUAGCCUUGUCAGAAUUUGACUUACAUUAUGAAUCGGCUAAGGCAGUUAAAGGGCAGAUCAUGGCCGACUUUGUAACAUAGCAUUGUGGUGUAGUGGAUGCUCUAGAAAUUGUUCCUUUGACACUUUUCUUUGAUGGAUCUACAUGUGAUCGGGGAGCUAGUAUUGGUAUAGUAUUGAUUUCUCCUCGUGGAAAGAAAUAUGAGUUUUCUUUACCAAUUGUUGCUACAUCAACAAACAAUCAAGCUGAGUACCAAGCUCUAAUCAAAGGGUUAGAAUUAUUAAAGGAAGUUCAUGCCGAUGCUGUCGAAAUCUUCGGUGAUUCUAUGCUUGUUAUAAAUCAGUUGGUUGGGAUUUAUGAAUGCCAGAGUGAAGUUUUGAUAGCAUGUUAUGAAAGGUGUGUGCAAUUGUUGAAGGAAUUCAGGGAUUUCCGAUUAGAGCAUAUUCCUCGUUUGCAUAAUGAAGAAGCUAACCGAUUAGCUCAACAUGCUUCAGGAUAUCAACCCAUCUUGGAAAUAUUAUCGGUAGUCCGUGCCGAUGAUUGGAGAAAAUAAAUUAUUGAUUAUUUAAAAGAUCCAUCCAGAAAAGCUAAGAGGCGUGUUAGGUUUCAAGCUACAAAGUAUGUACUCCUUGAAGAAGAAUUACAUUAUCAUACAAUAGAAUGAGUUUUGCUCAAAUGUUUAGGUGAAAUUCAUGAGGGAGUAUGUGGAGCGCAUCAAUCGGCUUUUAAGAUGAAGUGGAUGAUUAGAAGGAACGAAUAUUAUUGGUUGAUUAUACUUGAGGAUUGUUUCAAGUAUUUCAAAGGAUGUCAAGGAUGUCAGAGGUUUGGCAAUAUUCAAAGGGCACCCGCAUCGGCUAUGAAUCCUAUUAUUAAACCUUGGCCGUUCCGAGGUUGGGCUAUUGAUCUCAUCGGUCAAAUUUAUCCGCCAUCGAGUAAAGGGCAUAAGUUUAUUCUUGUUGCCACUGAUUAUUUCACUAAAUGGGUUGAGGCUAUUCCUUUGAAGAAAGUGACAUCAGCCAACAUGAUUGAUUUUGAGAAGGAGCAUAUUGUUUACCGAUUUGGCAUUCCCUAAACAAUCACUGCCGAUCAGGGUACUAUGUUUACGUCACGAGAGUUUGAUGAGUUUGCAAUCGGUAUGGGGAUUAAAGUGUUGAAUUCUUCUCAUUACUAUGCUCAAGCCAAUGGACAGGCCGAGGCUCCUAACAAAGGGAUUAUUAAGCUCAUGAAGCGGAAGAUUGAGGAAAAUCCCAGACGAUGGCAUACUCUGUUAAAUGAAGCUUUGUGGUUGUUGAUAUUUGGUAACGCAAUAAGGAAACGAUCCGCAAGCGCACGGAUAUCGGUGAGCAUUUCACUCGGGAGGUUAUCCAGAGUUAUCGUAUUUAUAUUUUUACCACUGGAGAAAGGGUGCAUCUGACUAACCAAAUCUAUUGCUACUAUCCCUUUAGGCUACAAAGAAUGUCUCUCGAUGUGAGUGAUAAAUAGAGAAGACUGCAACCGUAGUCUCCUUCUAACCUUGGUAAGGACGAUCUACUGUUCUAAUGGGGAGGCUAACGGAAUCUAGACACCACAAAGGAUGUUCAACCCGCACCUAUAAACCCUAUCCUUCCUGCUAACAAGAUGUGAUCUGCAAAGGUAACUCGGAAUUGUCACGUUCCUCACUACUACCACGGUCCAGCUAGUCAGGGAAUAUCUAUGAGUACCCCAGCCUAAACACCACGUUUACGCCAGCAAUGAUUACUCUAAACUCUACGCGAAGAGAUUAAAGUAAACUCAUAAACCAUAAGAACAAUAAAACAAGAACUUACUAGAAUUUAGAAGUCGAAAUACUGAAGAAUCCUAGGAGCAAGCUUCGGGUUAGGAGAACUUGAUCCCGCAGGUACAAGCUUGGAGUAGACACCGACAGGCCGGGCUUCCUCCAAUCUACACCUCCACUCUAUCUCUCUCAAUCUAGUAGAAACUAGAAGAUAUAUUUCUACUUUACAUUGGUUGCUAAGCCUAAAAAGAAAUAUUAAUUAGAGAAGAGGUUUUCCUUCGAGGGCACCCCUCAAUCUCUAUGAUAAUUUCUUGUUCUCCUCCAGGGGCCAGGGGCCUUGCUUAUAUAGUCAUCCUCCUCUGUGCGUUUUUGGUUCAGCAGGCGAUGUGGUACUAAACUUUGCACCCUAUCUCAUUAAAAUGCAUAUAGGCCUUAAUGGACCAAAAUCUGAUUUGGGCCCAAUUAAUCCCGCAGCUCUUUUAUGUGGAGUCCUUCUUUUAUUAAUAUCUCUUGAUUCCGAACUCCAAAUAUAGCAAAUAAUAUAUGCAUUUCGAUCAGCUCGACGAGAUCUUUGCAAUGGUGGACUCCAUUCUGUGAUUGGUGGAAACACCUGGGCGGGCGCCCAAGGGGGGUGGGCGGGCGCCCUGCCCCUGGGCCCGUUUGCCUUCUCGUUCGUUCCCGUGGCUUCUGGAGUCUUCUAGAUGAUAGAAAAUUGCGCGGUGCAUUGAUAUCUCUAUGUAAUCCCGACAUAUGGGCCAUUCUUUCGUAUUUCCUGAUAACCCCUGUAGAAAUAGACAAACACCAAAACUCGUGGAAUUCUGUCAGAUAAAAUCCUAAGUCUAGAUGUUGAUUUUAUUUGGAUCCUUUUCUUUGUUUAUUUGAUAAUUAAAUUUGAUACUUAAGGACCAUCAACAAACUCCCCCAAGCUUACCUCUUGCUCGUCUCUGAGCAAGGAUAGACUCAGCAAUGGAUUAGAAGUUGUUGCAAUAUCUUUAAAAAUUGACGGUACACAUGCUUUUUAAAUAAGAUCUCAUCUUUGAGUUAGAGUAAACUGUCAAGACUUAAAACUUACUUUACCUUCACCAUGGGACUUGUAACCGUCACUUCUGUCUUGAGAGGUUAAAAGUUAGAACAGUCUAGCCAAGUGCCAUGUCUCUUAUUCUUGAUCAGCUAUAGCUCUGGGUUUUUUUUUGCAGAUUUUCAAAUGAAACUCAGAGAUUACUUGUUUGACUCUCUCAUAUCUCUCUUUUGUGGUAUUUCUGGAUCCUUACCAAGGCAUUGAUGGUAUAUGUCUUCUCUCAAGAUAUGUGGUAUUUAUGGUAUAAGGCAUAGUGACAUUGCCUUCUCUCUCACCCUACUCUAAUAAGGCUUGAUAUCUGGAGCUCAUAGGUGAGAGACAGCUAAUACAUACUUACAAGACAUUUAUUGCAUAGUCAAACCAUGGAUCCAGAGAAACAAAUCAAUAAGCCAAAUCAAGAUGUGCAUGUGUGGCGAAUGAAUGGUGUAUGGUGAUGAUGGUAAUAACAAUUGUGAAAGUCUAAUUCUACUUUUGCUCUUUUGAGGGGAUACAUACCUUCUUGCUUUUUGAAACUUUAUGAGGAGAAUGAGAUGCUCUUCUUUUUCUUUCCUCUCAGGUGGGUAUCUUGUACCCCUAAUUCUACUGUCGGACACUUGUCUAUUUUUACCUCUCGUCUCACUUUUUCUUUCUUUCGAGGUUCCGAGCACUUGCCCCUUUUUAUUUCCUCGUUUAUAUAUUUUUUUCUUCUCUUUUCUUUCUCUUUUUUUUCAGAGCACUCAUCUCUUGAGAUAAUAUAGCAAGUGGUAGUAACCAAAAUAUUUGGAGCAUUUAUUUCACAGGGAAUAAGAGGGAUAAGAAAAUGUUUUUGACUAUUCUCUCCCGGAUUAGGAGUAGAAUAUUUUUGGGUGAUUCUAGAGAUGGAAAUGGAUGGAUAUAUGUGGAUGGUACUUCCGGAGUAGAAGUAGCAUAUAUGAGUGUAACAUCCCUGAUGUUACGAUUACUAAAAACGGAUCAUGUCAUCAUAAGCAUUGCAAAGCAUAUUUGUUAAAGCACAUUAGUAUGCAUCAACUUAAAAUAAGUUUACCUUGAUUGCUUGAGCUUAGGGAAGUAGAGUGUGCUUCUGUGGUGUGUUGUUGCUUGUGUGGUUGCUAAAACCCUAGGGUGGAAGUUUUCCGAAAAGCUAAGGGGGGGAAAACCCUGAUUUCUGGAUCCUAGAUUUGUCCCCUUUUGCAUAAGUCAAAAACUAAGCAAAAUUUGAGGUUGAGUUCAAAAGCAAAGUUGUAGCUCUUGGCAAGAUGUACAACUUUGGUGUUUUGAGUUUUUGAAGUUUCAAUACAAAAUUCAAAGUAAUUUUGAAAAUACAGAUUUCCAG